Molecule: long non-coding RNA, 81125 nt
Filed under: Malus domestica (apple)
Lineage: Eukaryota; Viridiplantae; Streptophyta; Magnoliopsida; Rosales; Rosaceae
Description: long non-coding RNA (MDOM_LNC011287)
Source: RNAcentral
AAGAUUGCUAUCCCCACAGAUUUGAGUCAUCUUUACACAAGCACAUACUUAAUUAAAGCCACCACUUACUAGUUCACAAGUAAUCAAUUAAAACAAUGCUUUUGAAUGUAGUAACAUGCCUUAGAGAAUUCCCUCAAUUCCUUACAAGAUAUACACUCUAUUUUCACUCAGAUUUUCUAACUCCACACCCUACACUAGUCAUAUGUGAGAAGAUUGAUGUAGAUAUGAAAACGAAUGCUCACAUAUAUGUUUCACAAAGAACGCAAUUUCUAGAGUUAAGAAGCAUGUUUAGAUAUGAUCUCAUGAAUGGAAUGCUACUACUUAGAUGCGAGAACCAGUGACACCAUAUGCUCAUACCAAAUUCAAACUCCACAAAUUGAAACACAUAACACUCAAGAUAGAAGUUAAGGGUUGUAAUGGGGCUUAGGUUGUUGGUUAACAAGGAAAGGAUGGGGAAAACAAACGUUCUUCAAGCAAUAGUAAGCAAAGCAAUGAAAUUGAGACUUAGAAUUCACUUAGAUUGCAGAAAUUAACUUUAAAACACAAGGGGAAGACUUAAACAACUCCUUAGGGCCGAAUUCAUUGUUUUGGACCCUUACUUCAACAAACAAUACUUUGGAACUCUUUUUCUUUUUUUUUUUUUUUUUCAAACUGUUUUUUUUUUUUCAUACUUUUCACACUUUUUUCUUCAUUUUUUCUUUUUCCACGAAUUUUUUUUUCUUUUCUUUGCCGUGCCUAUGGCACACAAUUCCUCAUGAAAAAUACUUCCCCCACACUUGGUUUCUGCCAACAUAGAUCAAAAGGAAUUCAAUUUCGAAUCAUGCUUUACUAUGCUUUAAGAACAAGGGUAUGGAUGGUCCUAAACUAGGCUAGGUGAGGAUAAUGUGGGUUAACAAACAACAUAGGCUAAACAAGGCUCAACGGGGUUAAAACCUACAAAAACAUAAUGACAUAGGGGAUUCAUGGCUUUUUGGCUAAGGUGGUGGUCACUACACAACUUCAUCUUGAAUAUGUGUUAUGCAAAUCAAUAACAUGCUUUGAAUGAAAUGGGCAUGAGUUCUAGCAUUUGGAACUAAAUGAUGAAACGCCUUCUAAGUAGCAACCAAGCAAAGAAUAAUGAGAUCAUGCAACGACUUAGAAAACAAAGAAUGCACAGAUUUUAACUCUCCAAAUAAACGUUUAGGCUCAAGUCUCACAAGGUUGUAGCGUUAGUUUGAGUUCCUUCCUUCAAGCAUGUUACAAAAAACUGAUUUUUUUCUUUUAUGAUUGCAUGUGAAUUCAUAAGUUAUAACCACAACUAAGCAUAAACAAAGAGUAAAUCAAACUUUCAUCCAUGUUAAUCACUCUCUUUAACAGCCAUGUAAUUACAAACCGAAUCCUCAUCAUUGUGUUGGAAGGUACCCUAAGACACAAACAAACACACAAAAACAACUCUUUUUUGGGUUUUUUAAAACAAAUUUUUCAAAUUUUUAUGUAAUUUUCGGAUUUUUACUUCAAAACACACUAAAACACAUCAAAACUGCUCAAAAACACUUAAAAACAGCAAGGAACAAGUCUUCAAGUUUAGGGUGAUAAAAUCCCACGAAUUUGCAUCUAAAACACUUAGUUACCCCCCCACACUUAAAUCAAACAUUGUCCUCAAUGUUUCAAGCAUGAAAUCACACUAAACAAAAAGAAACACACAAACAGCAACUAAAACAACUAAAUAGGCAGAUUCAAAAUAAAUAACAAAGGGAAGAGUUUAGGAACGCAAAUCUGGAAUUGGGAGUGAUUCCUUGGUCUUCCUCUGUUGAAUUGCAUGGGUUGCCUCCCAAGUAGCGCUUUCUUUUACGUCUUGCAGCCGGACAAUGCUCCUUUGAAGGUUAUUGAACCCCACGGCAUGGAGGGGUGUUUCCUCUACACCUUGUCCUUCGAACCACUUCAUGCAUUGGGUCCUUGAAUGGAAUGGGAUAAUGAUCCUUUCGUAGUGUCGUGUUGUGCUUCUCUAAAUUAACACGAACUCUCCCACCAUAUUGACUUUGAUUAGGUACCUGCACCAUACAAGGUAACAACCGAUUAGUUGAAAUGGGAAUUGAAAUUGGAUCAGGUGGCUUACCUAGGUGCGGCAUAGGAGUGGGAGUACAAUGGACAGAUGCACAAAGGUUGCACUCGGCCAAAUUUGGUGAUUUCAAGGUUGAGGCCGUGCAUUCUUUGUUGCUCACUCCAAUUCCCUCCUCGAUGGUAGUUCGAGGUGCAUUUUUCUUGACUAGUGUUGAACAUUCCUGCCCUAUAUUUUCAAUUACAUUAAUGGCACAACAAGAACGAACAUCAUUAGUAUUCUCAAUUGAUUCAGGAAUCUUAAAGUUAAUCAUAUCACCACCAAAGGCCAUAGUUACGGCUCCCUUGGCCACAUCAAUCUUGGUUUGAGCCGUUUUCAUGAAUGGUCGUCCAAGCAAGAGUGGUGAUGGUGGAUAGUGGGUUGAGUCCUCCAUAUCAAGCACAUAGAAAUCUGCAGGAAAAAUCAAAUGGUCUACCUGCAACAAAACAUCUUCCAACACUCCCUUGGGAUAUGCAUUAGAUCGAUCGGCUAAUUGAAUUAUAACGCCAUCAUUUUUAAGUUUUCCUAGAUUCAUAGAUGCAUAAACAGAAUAUGGCAUGACAUUAAUUGAUGCACCUAGAUCUAGCAUAGCAUGUUCAAAUCUUGUAUUACCAAUUACACAAGGGAUUGUGAAACUACCUGGAUCUUUACAUUUAGGUGGUAGCUUCCUUUGCAACAUUGCAGAGACAUUCUCGCUUACAUGUACCACCUCCUUCUCCCUAAUCCGCUUCCUCGUUGUACAAAGCUUCUUCAAGAACUUGGCAUACUUCGGGAUUUGCUUGAUUGCAUCCAAAAGAGGUAUGUUAACUUGAACUUUCCUAAAUGUCUCUAGAACAUCUUUUUCCUCCUCUUCAUUCUUGGAUUGCAAAAAUCUGCUAGGAAAGGGCACAUUGGGUGGAAUAAUGUUAGAAUUAACUGAACUUGGACCUUUCUUACCUAGGGUGGACGGAUUGGAGGACUUAGGAUCAAUGGUUGCUUGCGGCAAAGGUUGCUCCACCUUUGCCGUGGGUUGCUUUGGGUUCUCCUCUCCAGAUUUCAACGUUUCAUCUUCUUUGGGACCUGAUUUUGGUGGUGUAGGACCUGCCCCAACUUCUUUUCCACUCCUUAGCAUGAUUGCAUUUGCGGUUUCAAAGCCUCCCUUUGGACUUGGAAUGGUGGAACUAGGGAGUUGUCCGGGAUCUCGAAACUUACCUACAAACUCGGCAAUCUGCCCAAUUUGUUUCUCAAGUUGAUCCACCCUUCUGUCUUGGUUUUGCAUAGCUUUAGCUUGAUCUUCCUGCCCAUUAGACAACUUAGUUAGUAUCUUAAGAAGUGCAUCAUUGUCAAGAGACGUACCUGAGGCACUUGGGCCGGAUUGGGCUUGAUUUUGGGGUGGGCCGUAAGUUUUGGGAAAGAACCCCGGGGGUUGUUGCCUAAAGCCUCCUUGGUUUUGAGGUUGUUGGGGCUCCCUCCACUUGAAAUUUGGGUGAUCUCUCCAACCGGGAUUAUAUGUGUUUGAAUAUGGAUCGUUCCUUGGUUGGUUUUGCCCUUGAAACCCAAUUGCAUGGGCGCUUUCCCAUCCACCAUUUUCAAUCAACUGUGGACAUUUUUCAGAGACAUGUCCUUGGAUGGAACAUACGCCACAUACAAUUGGUCCUUGCAUCUUCAUGCCCUCGGCCAUCUGAGACACAAGAGAAGUAAGAUUAGCCAAUUGUGAAUGAAGAUCAGAAGUUGAACUUACCUCAUGUACUUGGUGCCGUGGGGGUCCUCUUUGGCCUACACCCUCGUACUGUUGAGCGUUCAACGCUCUAUUAGCAAUCAAGACCUUGGCAGCCAUGGGUGUUUUGUCCACCAAUGCUCCCCCCGCCGAAGCAUCAAGCAUUUGACGUUCUAGAGGUAGGAGACCCUCGUAGAAGUAUUGCAAAAGCAACUCCUCCUUCAUCUGAUGCUGUGGACAAGAAGCAACAAGUGAUUUAAAUCGUUCAUAAUAUGUAGGAAAAGACUCACCUUCCUCUUGCUGAAUUCCGCUUAUCUUUUUGCGUAGGAGGAUGAUGCGAGAAGUUGGAAAGAACUUCUCCAAGAACGCUCUUUUCAUACUCUCCCAAGAAGUGACAGUGCUGGGAGCUAACUCGUAUAACCAAUCCUUGGCUUUAUCCAUCAAAGAGAAUGGAAAAGCCUUCAUCUUCAAGAUAUUUCCGUCAACAUUGACGGGAGUCGUACUAGAGCAAACUACUUCAAAUUCUUUCAAAUGUUUGUUAGGAUCUUCCAUGGACAAGCCAUGGUAUUUAGGAAUAUGAUGAAGCAAACUUGACUUUAAUUCAAACUCAUCCGUCUUACCUUGGGCAGCCAUGGGGUAUUGAAUGCACAAGGGUGCGGCAUUAUCCAAACCUGAGGCGGAAAGCUCCUUGAGUGUACGAUUGUCCAUGGCCAUGCCUUGGACUUCUUCAAAUAUCCCUGCCGUGGCUUCCUCCUCCUCUUCUUGUACGUUUUCUUCAAGGUCAGAUUCGGAAUUGGGUGGAUGGUGUUCUUGCUGGUUUCUAGCUCUUCUUAACUUCCUCUCAAAAUCGUCGUCAAAAUCCAAGAUGUUUGCACGAAUCGUUUGAGAGCUUCUAGUCAUACAUUAGUACCUAAGAAACAAGAAACAAAAUUAGGUCAGAAACUUAAACAAAGUCAGAAACAAAGUGAAAUAAAAGAAACAAAAACAAUCCAAGGGAUUAGCAAAAUUGCUAAUCCCCGGCAACGGCGCCAAAAAUUUGAUGCGAAAUAGAUAAGCACACAAAUUAAACCCUCUUUUUGUCAAAUUGUAGCAAAGAUGUAAGUAGGGAUCGUUCUAAACCGGGGAUUAGGAGGGAUUGCUAAACACUUGGAAACUGACUUAAAAACUCAAAAACAAAGUUUAAAACACUAAACUAGACUCAAAGAAUGCAAAAGUAAAGGUUAAAAGACUUAAACAAACCUAAAACUCAAAACAGCAACUAGAAGGCUCAAAACUGCCUAAAAAACCACUUUCUGGGCAGUUUUGAGCACCUACACUAAUUUGGACGAAAUUUGAUGAAAACUUGAAUCAAAAAUACUUAGAAACACAAAUCAAAAUACUUUCUAACUAAUCUAAGACUUCAAAUGAAGGGGGAUUUGUUUUGGACGAAAAUUUAAACACAAAACAGAAACUUUAAUUAGCACAGAUUGUAAAAACGAUUUUGGUGAAAUAGAUGGAUAAAAGGCUAGUUAGGAGGUUCUUCUCCACACAUGUCACACUUGCAAACAAAACGAUUUUCAGUUGUUUUCUUCCAAUAAAUUAUAAAUACUCAACGCCCCAGAUUAACCGUGAAUUGCACUAAUUAACCCUCAGUUUUUCCACAAGUUAUUAAGUUGGAUGAUUGCAUACGACAACCCAAAACAUUCCCUACAAGUUCCCUACAUGAAUUGCAUAAUAGAGAUACAAGCAAGAAUCAUUACGUUCUAUGAAAAACAUAAGCAUUGACGAAGCAUUUGUUACUAUGAAUUGCAUGAAACUUAUGCUAAGAAUUCAUUCAACGCGAUCGUUUUCAAGCGAUCUUCACUACUUGUGAUUAUAAGAUUGUAACUAUUAGGUGAAACUCCCUCAUAAUCUAGCAUCAUAUUCAUGCAUGAAAACUAAGCGUGCACUCUCAAUCAACAUACAUAAAUAAGUAUCAAUCAAAUAGAUGAACGAAUUGAAUCCACAACUUAUGAAAUAACAACUGAAUGUAAUCGAAUCAAAUUGCAAGCAUGUACAUGGUUUCGAAUUACCCCCCAACUAAGGGGGUUUAGUUCCUCAUACUCACAACACAAAGUUUUAUUGAAUUGAAACAUUGAAACAUAAGAAAGAUCACACCUAAAAAUUCCAGCAAUCUAAAUUGCACAGCAGGAACAUCUAAGAACCUUCCUCCUCUUCCUUGGUUGCGGCACAGGGGUUUGUGAUGGUUUUUGGGGGUUAUGGAUGGUGUAGAAUGGUGGAAAAGUGUGUAGGAUAGGUGUAUGGGACGGCUAGGGUGGUUUUGGGUCAGAAAAUAUGGUGAAUGAUGAAGGAUAGGUGCUGUUGAAGAUGGGGAAUGGUUUCUGGCGUGAAGGAUUAAUUUCUGGAUUAUGGAGAGGGUUGUAAUUCGGCCAAGGGAGGUAAAACAUAUAUAUAUAGGCAGCCAAACCCUAAAGAAAUCAGAUUAGACAAAUGGGCUAGGGUUUAGGUGAGGCUAGGGUUAGGAAAUCCACCAAAAACUAGGGUUUCUAGAACAUUAGGUGCGGCAUGGGCUUAGGGUAAGUAAUCAGAUUUUUUUCAUGUGAACAAGGCCUAGGUGUGGCUGAUUAAGUGGGCUAGGGUUAGGGUUAGGUGCGGCAUAGGUCCAAGAGGCAAAGAUGGGUCAUCCAAAAGCCCAAAGCCGAGAAUAGAAACUCUCGAAAUUGGAAACCUCCAAAAAUAGAAAAUUCCAACUUUAGAAACUUUGGUUGCCAAUUCCGAUUUAGGAAAGAUCAACCCAAAAUGGAAACUUUUAGGCUUAGCUUUCCUACUUCAAGUAGGAAACCUCAAAUCUCGAACUCUUCAAUUUCAACCCAACCUUGUGUUCCAAGCAUGUCCUUUUCAUUCCAAGCUCACUUUUUGCUCUAAAAGCUCCAAAUUGCAUCAUUUCAUGUAAUAUGUCCUUUAAACCUGAAAACACAUGAAAGUAGCUUAAAAGACUACUUUAACGAAGAAAACAUAACAAAGAUGCAUAAGAACUAGCUAACUAAGGCGCAUAAAUAUGCUCCUAUCAUCAAUGUAGACUUCGACAAUGGUACCAAUUAAAUCUUGGAAAAUAGUGUUCAUGGCUCGUUGGUAUGUUGCACCGGCAUUCUUGAGGCUGAAGGGCAUGACGACCCAUUCGUAUAUGCCGAGUGCCCCGGGACACUGAAAGGUAAUCUUAUGGACAUCAGCUUCGGCGAUGAAAAUUUGGUUAUAACCGGCAUGCCCAUCCAUGAAGGAUAGGAUCUCGUGAUGUGCUGCGGUGUCAAUUAGCAAGUCGGAGAUCGGCAUCGGGUACUCGUCUUUGGGCGUUGCCAAGUUCAGAUUAUGAGAAUUAUGUGUGCAUUGAAAAUGGUUGGACUCAAAAAUUACAUUUAUUGUUCUUAGUUAAAUAACAUUUUUUCUUUGUUGUAUAAGCUCCACCUUUGACAUAAUCUAAUAUUGAAAUUCAAUUUUGGCUUCAGUUCGGCUCAAAACUCAUAUACGAGUUUUAAGUCUUAUGAGUUUGAAUAGAAAAUGUGGGGUAUUGUUGAAUAGAUAAUGCUAAUAUCUUAUGGUUAAGAUGAAUAUAACAUGAUAUUCUUGAUUAGCAUUACCUAUAUGAGAUUGAUGUGGGGUCGCAUAUUCGAGAAUUGUUAUGGCUACAAUUCUCUAAAGGUCUCAUAAAUACAGGAUAUGUUCAGGACUAAAAUGAACACAGCCGUAUGAAUUUGAAGUGUGUCAAGAUGUGAUAUGUGUGAUAUUUAUUGUUUCGAUUUACUACUAGGAAUGAUCAGUUCAAGAUAUUAAAUUCACUACUACAUUAGGUAAAUCCGAUAAGUACUAACUAGAGAAGAUUCAAGUCCAAAAGACACCUAUCCUGAUGCAUAUCAUAUCUAAGUUCUCUGGAAAAGGUGUUACUAAUUUAGUUGGUAUCUUAUUUCCUAUUCAAAUGUGGGGUACUGCAAGAGUUUGAAUAGAAAAUGUGGGGUACUGUUGGAACUUGUGAGGGACCAUUGUCCCACAUCGACCAUACACCCUCUCUAAUUCUUGUUUAUAAGUGAGUUCACUCACUUAUUGUUUGAAAGGAAUUGGACCAAUGCUAUGGACUUUGGAAGGUUUGGGUGUAUAUAUCAAAUGUCGGCCUUGGGGCUCAAACAGACGAAAAAACACAAGUACGAUUUUUACAUUUUUUUAUUUUACGAUUUAGUUUUUUCCGAAGGGAUAAGACUGUUUACAAAAACAGUUACAUCCUUUCUGAAAGGAUAAGAAUGAGUCAUAAUUGUUGCAAAAAUUUCAUUAUAUAUGGCUGUGAUAUCAAAAUCGAAAAAUAUAGAAUUUCAUCGCUCGCUCUCUCUUUGAUCCUUCAUAGAGAAACACAUAGUAAAUUCGCCAAGAAUCCAAGUUCGAGUGCAAGAACUUGGGUUAGAUAGUGUAUCCUGCAAGAUAGACGUCUGUGAACUACUGCACUGGUGUAGGGGCAAAUUUCUUUCUUAGGAAAUUGCUACUACAAGCCUCUAUCUUCCAAAAUCAAGUCAAUGAUUGUUGUUGUGAUUUUUAUAUGCAAUUUUAUUAAUUAUUCAUAUUCUGGUAUAUUCUAUAUAAAGUGAAAUUGUAAUUCGAAAUAUAUUGUGCAAUUAUUAUUAUUGUAUAAUUGAUAUUUGAUUGCUUAAAACAUAGGAGAUGCUUUGCCUUAUAUUUGAACUCAAACUUUAGACUUAUAUUCUUAUAUGUGGGUCCAAAAAAAAAAUAAUGGGUUUGAGUAUUUUAAUUUUCUACUCGAUGCAAAGACAUAUUCUGUGAGAUGAAAGAAUGAACUAAAAAUAAAUAAAUUAGAAUAUGAGUCUUUGUGAGAUGAAUGAAGAACUAAAAAAUUGUUAGAAUAUUUUGCUCUAACAAUUUCAAAUUUAUCUCUGUUAUGAGAUGAAUGAAGAACUAAAAAUUAGACAAUUUGUAUCAUUUAAAGAAAAAUUGGAGCUGGCCCCAUAAAGUAUCCCUCGAAUAAGCGAUCUUUGAGCUAUGUGUGUGUUGUGAAGAAUAAAAAAAAUGCGUGUGUUAUUAGUAUAUGCACUCAGGGGUGGAGCCGCCAAGGGACUAGAAUGGUCACAGGCCCGUCCUAACUUGUGAAUUGUCAGAAAGGUUAAUGAGAUCUACAUAGUGACCUCAAACCUUUAUUUCCAGAGGCAAGAAACUCAUGGAAGAAGAUGAGGCGAAUGACAUCAUUAGGUCUUUUUGGUUUUAUAUGUUUUGGUUUUAUAUUUAAUGAAACGAUGAGUUUGAUAGGGGAUUUUAUUACAAGACACUAGCAAUUUUGAAUAGAAAAGCAAACCCACUAUUUUCUAAGGGAAGUAAUUGUCACACACCAUUUUUAACUUCUCACACUUCUUUAUUUAGGGCCCAUCGAAUUAAAUAAAUCAAACAUGAGUUGUAAGAAGAUACAAAGAGUGUGCAAAUUACUUCUCUAUUCUCAAGCAACUCACCCCCUUCAUUGUUCGCAGACCUCUUCCCUUACCCUUCUUUUUUCUACCAAAUUAGAUUUCUUAGUAUUUCUCUACCUCUUUCUUGGUUGUCUUGGUUUGUGUAAUUUUUUUUAUUCUCUAUUGAAUUUAUGAGGUCUUUCAAUUUGUGUAUUCUACUUGCUCUUUAGUCCUAUUUUAGUACACACUAGCUAUUAGUACCCGCACGUUGCUGCGGGUUUUUAAACUGUAUAAAACAUGUAGAAAGUUAUGAUGUAUAUACAUGAUAGACAUUAUUUACACACGUGAAAAACUAAUUGCAACCUUAAAAAGGUUUUUACUUGAACAUAACGAAAACAUUUGCACGAAUUUUAGUAAGAACUAAGUAAUAUAUAUCAAGGGAUCCCCUCUAGUGUACAAUUUGCACAACUCAAGAAUUUCCAAACUUGGAAUGGUGAUCAAAGUCGUUUGCUCAAAAAGAAAUAACAUAGCUAGAAGUGAAAAAUGGAAAACCUAACUUAUGUAAAAAUAACAUUAUUUCUAUAGACAUAUUUGAAGUGCCGAAUAUGGGAACAUACUUAUUAGUCAUCGGAUUACAAACCUUAGCAAGAACAAACAGCAAUUUCUGCACCAUUGUUUUCUAGCUUCAUAGUUCACAAAGUCGGACCUAUGUAACAAAUCUCUCCACGUCUUUGGGACUUUUUUAAGCAAUCCAUGAUACCCAUGUGACACUGUUGGCAAACAUUUCAUUUUCAAAUCAUCAGGAAAUCCAAGAAUAAUAUAUUGGUGCAAAGAUUGUAAUCGAAAAAAUUGUUAAAUAAACCAACCAAAUACUUGAGACAAAAAAGGGCAAAACUACAUGCAUAUAGAACUGAAGGAGAAAAUUUAUAUAUAGAAAAUACAAUGCUCUAAGCACAAACCCGGGAGCACAAAACACACGAUUGAUAUUCACAUUAAUCAGCUAAUACCAGAAUCACUAACCAAGAAAGACCUGAUAGUAAAGAGUUUUAGUUAUGUACAGAGUUUGCAUCUGCUGCAAGUCUCCAAGUACUUUUGCCGGGACUUCAGUGAAGGGAAGGGAAAAAGAACUAGACUCUAACAUAAAGUAUUUUAUAAAUAUCAUACAUUGUCAUGAAAAACAUGUAUUUUCAAAUUAUGGAAACAAUUUAUACAUCAAUAGAGCAGACAACGGGAACUGCUAAAGCACCAAUAUAAAAAAUAAAAAGCAUCAGUGGACAUAGAGCCUAUGAUAAACGUCAAGUAAUUGACAUUAAGUCAAAAAGGCAUCUGCUAAAGUGUAAUUAAACCGACCUAGUUUAAUAACUAUCCAAACCAUGAAUAAGAUAUUGUUGGAUCAUCAUCCAAGAACUGAUUCAGAUGAUUCCCAUCGUCAAAUAGAUUUUCCCUGGUGCAACAUAAGAGCAUUGUUGAGAACCAAUGGAAGAAAAUAGGUUAACAACGGAACCAUAUAUGUGAGGCAAGUUGGUUUGACAUGAAAAAAAAAAGUGAAAUUGUCCACUUAAAAGUCACGCAUUAUUGUUUAAGACUCUUCUAAAAGGUAACUUUUUGUUCUAAUCCAUAACCUAGAACAAUGUUCAAAACCUCAUUCUGAAAUUUUAUCUGGGUACUAACUUCUAUAAUUUCCAAAUCACAAAAUUCCAGUAUGGGUAUGACGAAACACAAUCAAAAAAUCAAAUUCUUUGUGUACAGGACAACAUAAAGAUUAAGACUUUUUUUUUUACUUCUACAACUCUACACACUUUCGAGCCCUAAAUUUUCCCGGAAACAAACAGAAAGUGAAUGAAGUCGUACCUGGUUCGAAAGAGAGGACGCUCCAGUUUGGUGAAACAGCGAUGGCAGAGAUCUCUGGUGAGAGAGCUAAUAAGAUGGACCAAACCAUUGAACAAAAAAAUCCAGAUUCUUAAAAUUAAAAUCACAAAAUUUUGAACAAAGAAAAGAGAACCUAAAACAAAUAUGUCCGAGAACUCACCACGAAACCCAAGCUUUCUGAGUUUAAAAUUUCUUCAAAUCAAAACGGGAGCCAAGCUUUUCAGGGUAUGCCAGAGUAGAAUUGGACUCGGAUGAAGCGAAUUCAAGGAAUUUUAGUUUUGUUGUGAGGAGAACAACAUGAACAACCCAAUCCAAACAAAAUUCUAGAGAGAGACAGAGAACGUACCACGAAAUCUAAGCCCCUUGAGGAAUUUCUUCGAAUCGGAACGGGAUAAACAACAUAUGUUCUGGUUCGUGCAAAAUAGGGAGAGAGAACUGGAGUUCGUGUAGCAAAUGGAGGACUACCGGAAGCAAAUGAAACGCCCAGCUUUGUGAGAGAGAGAAGUGGAAAGGGAAGGAAAAUUCGAGAUGUAGUGGAAACGAAGCAGCCGACGAUGAUCGACGCGUGGGCAGCGUGGAAAAAUAAGUAAAUCCACUGUGCGAGGAGGGAAAACAACGGAGAAUAGAGAAGCAAAAAAGAGCAUUACCGUCAUUUCACUGUUUAUGAACAGUGAAAACAGUGCUAAAGGGAACCCAGUAUAUGCAUAAUAUCUACUUGUGAAAAGCAUCAUUUCACGUACAAUUCUAACUCUGCCACUGUACACACAUGAAACGUUAGUGUUGUACAAAGAAAACUUUUUGCAACUAAUAAGCAAGGAAGAAAAUAUCGGUAAUAUCGGAAAUAUCGACAGUCUGAAAACACGGAAAUAUCGAUGGAAAUAUCGGGAUAAUAUCGAUAUCGAUAAAAAUUACAUGGAAACCACAGAAAUUGUAAGAAAAACUUGGAAAUUUUUUAAUGAAACUUUGCAAGAUGUUUAUUUAGUCAAUUAUCUAUUAGUUUAUCACAAAAAAUUGAAAGGAAAUGUAUUGCAUGAUGGAUUUAACUGAUUUAAGUUGAUUAUAUAGCGAGCUGGCAAACAUUGUGAGUGUAGAAAAUAUGUAGUAAUUAAUUAAAGAAGUUUAAACACACCAUAAUCAUUUAUAUAUAACUAAUUAGUACAAUAUUGGGAGGUUUUAUUUAGGAUAUUAAAAAAAAAAAAAGGAAUUGAAUAAAAUGAUGAAGAAUAAUGUGCCGAAUCUGACACUUUAAAUUUCUUACACAUAAGCAUGCGUCUAGGCGUUGAAGUUCCAAAUUAUAGUAUAUCAAUUAACGAUUGAAAAUCAAUAGGUUGAAUAAGACUAAACUUUAAUUUGGAUGCCGAUUAUGUUUUUUCAAGUUUAUAUAAAGUAAAAGAAUUGAAUUUUGGAAGCCAAGAGUGUGUCAAUUGUUCUAUAAUGCGUCCGGUCAAACCACGACGAGUUGGCUGGCGUACAAGGUAUCAAUCUCUUCGUCUCGUCGAGUAGUACAACUUUCCUUUUUGUUUCACUCAAUUUCGUUGAGUAUUGAAAAAAUUAUACUCAUUUGAAUCUUACCCAGUUUCCGGCGACCGCAGUGACUUUCGAGGUAUUUUCCGGCCAAACCACAACGAGUCAGACUUCGUGUGAGGUAUCAUUCUCUUCGUCUCUUCGAGGGCUACAACUUUCGUUUUUGUCUUGCUUGAUUUCGUUGACUUUUGACAAAGUUAUGGCCGUUUAAAGUGGGUGUAAAUGUUUGGCCGAAAUUCUGAUUUUCUCUCCCUUGGGCGAGUCCCACAUCGCCCAUGCGAGGGCAGUGAGCAAGCAAUUUGUCCUAUAAAACCCACAUUCCCCUGCUUAGAAAGACAUAGCUUGUUCGGCCUUUGGGCUAUGAUCAAGUGAAGUGUGUGUUGAGUUUUCUUAACAUAUUUAAGUAUUUUUUAGUAUUAUGUCGCGAUAUUAUCGAUAAUUUCGAAAAUAUCGCGAUAUUAUUGAUAUUAUUGAUAAUAUCACGAUAUUUUAACGAAAAUUGUUCGGAUAGUUAAAAAAAUAUCGAACUUCCAAAUAAACGAUAAUAUUGUCGAUAUUUCGCCGAUAUUAUCGAUUUUUUCUUCCAUGCUAAUAAGUUGUGUGAAAGGUGGCAACAAAACAGUAGGUUUUUAUUUUUCUAUUUUAUUAUUGUUUUCAAUUAUUAUUAUUAGCAAUGAGACACAUGCUAUGCAUGUGCUUAUUGAUAUUUUGAAAAUAAAACUUUACAAAGAGAUAAAAUAUAAAAUGGCCACUAAAGCUUUUUGGUGACAACCUUCAAACGAUUUUUUGUCGAUGUAGAGGAUGUUCAUAUCUUUAGCGAUUGUUUUUUAAUAACUAUUUCGUCGCUAAAAGUUUAUUUUAUUUGGGAGAAAAAUGUGGAAGAGAAAAUGGAAGCAACUAAUAUGGUUAAAUGGCUAUGAGGCUUUGAAAAAAAAUACAGUAAAAUUAUUUUGUGUUUAAUUUACUAUAUUGCCCAUAAAUUUAUUUUUAGUUAUUUUUCUUUAGUUUUCUUGAUAGGGUUAAUUUGGUCUUUUCACCAUUUUUAGCUGACAAAGAGAGUUUUGUAAUGUGAAAUUUGGAAUUGUGCUUAUUAGUAUUUUGAAAUAAAAUUUGGCAAAGAGAUAAAAUAUAAAAUGGUCUUUAAAGCUUUUUUGUGACGAUUUGAGUUUGCGCCUUCCACCAAAACAGAGAUGAGGUUUUUAUGUAGAGGCAGGGGAUUUUCCAGAAAAAUGACUUCUUUUCUCUACAUUGGCUAUAGAAGUCGACUCUUCAUGUAAGCUUGAUUUAUGAGAUGAGGAUGAAAUUUACAUGAAUUUGCCGAUGUCGGUCAGAGUUUUUGUUCACCAUAAUUGAUGUAAGAUGAGGGGGAGGAGGUGAGAGAGAGGACGAGAAGGAGACAAUGUUGUGUCUAUGUGGUAGUUAACAUCAACGUGGAUGCGGACAACGAGGACUCAUUCCACCUACUAUUGCCACAACAAAUUUAUCGGGAAUUUUUUUUACCACCACCCUCAAGUGAUGAUAAUGCUCACCACUCUAUCUAUUACUUUUAGAUGAGUUUAAAUUUUGAUAUAUGUGUAGUGAAUAGACUCGAAUCUCAAAAUUUAAACUCAUCUUAUGAUGACAAAUUGAGUGGUAAGCAUUACCAUUAUUUGAGGGUGGUGAACAAAAAUAUUCCCAACCAGCAGAAAUCCCAUCUUUAAUUUUAUUGCCAGUUGGAUGAUCCAACGAUUAAGGUUAGGACUAGGGGUGGGUUCGGUUCAAAUCGGUUCGGUUUUUUGCCAAAACCGAAACCGAACCGAAAUUUCGGUUCGAUUCAAUUUUUUUCGGUUUUUUUUUGUUCGGUUUUUUUUCGGUUCAGUUUUUUCCAGUUCGGUUUCGGCUUUUUUUAAAAAAAUGAAAAAUUUUGAAAUCUUAAAUUUUAACAUAUCCAAUACAAUCAUAACAUAAAUAUUCCAACUAGACUUAAAGAUAAUGAAAAUAAACAUUUAAAGUUCAACUAGAAUUAUAACAUAAAGGUUUUUUUAAAUAUUUUGGGUUUAAAGUUUAACUGUAAAUAGAUUUCUUUUUAGACGAUGAUAAUGGAGUACGACCUUAUUCAUUCCUCUCUUUCUCUCAAUCUCUCUCUCUCUCUCUCUCUCUCUCUCUCUAUACAUGUAUUCUUCACUAGCAAUAAGAUAAACAUUCUAUAAUAUACUAUUUAUUUUGGUUAUUGUCUAGGUAACAAUUUUUUAUAUUUUCUUUAUCUAUAUGGUCCGAAUUUUUUUUAUCCAUAUAUGUGGUUACAUAAUUGAUAUACUUUUCAAAAUUGUUAGGCCAAGGAAGCUACUAUACUUGGCCAUAGGUGAGAAAGUUUGAAUUUUGUUUUUGAUCUUGUAGCGUUUAAUAAACUCAUGAGACUUUUAUACGCUGUUUGCUUUCCCUAAUCAACUGUAGUGCAGUUGAGAUAUGUGUUCUUAUAUAUGUGUUGCACUUAAUGAUAGAAACUAGAAACAUUGCAUGUAAUGGUAUAAGUUCUAAUUUUUGUUGUAGAUGGAGAAGCUGAGAAGACAAUUUGAAUUGGAAAGCAAACAAGUCUUACCAAAGCAGCAGUCCGAAGUAUCAUAUUUUAAUAUAAUAAAAUCAAAUAAUUAAAUAAAAAAAAUUAAAAAAAUAUUAAUUUAAUUAUUUUGGUUCGGUUUCUAGACCACCAAAACCGAACCGAACCAAAAGAGUUUGGUUCGGUUCGGUUUUUUCAAUUCGGUUUGGUUUUAUCGUUCGGUUCGGUUCGGUUUUCGGUUUUUUUGGGUUUUCGGUUUUUUGAACCCACCCCUAGUCAGGACUAUAUAAAAUACAUGUGUAUUGUAGUUAACUCCUAGUUAAGGAAUAAUCGAAUCUUAGAGUUAGGGUUCUCAUCUACUUUGUCUCCAAAAGCUUUUGCAAUUUUCAGGAAUAAAGGGUAUAUUAGUCUUUUUACAUUAACUUUUAGUUAGAAUUAUCAAAGAAAAUAAAUUGGCUAAACUUCUACACAGUAAAUCUGAUGUCAUGUUCAAUAAGUGUCGCAAUUGUCUAGUCCGACACUAUAUUAUAUUAAAACGACACCACCUACUGACACUAUAAGGCCAUUUUGUAGUAUUGAAAUACCCUUUUGUAGUACGUAGUUUAGAUUAUUAUUUUAUGAGAAAAGAGUCUAUUCACUUGAUAAAAGAAAACCAAGUAGACAAAGCAAAAUGGUGACAUUGGGCUAGUCCAAGCUUUUGAUGUGUAUGAUGGGUCCAGUCCAGGAUUUCAAUUAGAUUAGUUUUUCUUGUUCAAGCAAAUUUUUAGUGGUUUCAUGUUUGAAGAUGGUGCUUUACUGAAGUGCUGGAAAAUAAUUAUGCAUAUGCACUUGGUGCGGAUUUAAUCCUCACUAAGUUCCGUCUUCCUAACAACUAACUAUCUAACUCACUAAAACUAUCGCUCUACUAAAAAAAUAGUAGCUUCAUAUUCGAGGCUCAAAAUGUAUCAUACCUCUUACAGCCCAUUUCGGAGCCCAAAUAAAAGAAUGCACCACACCUCUUACAAUACAGAUAUUCACACAAAAUUUUUCUUUUGCUCUUUACUUUCUAUAUUUUUUUUAGCUUCCAUUCACCCAAAACUUUUAGGGUUAAAUACAGUUUUGGUCACUGUGUUUGGAUCGAAAUCUAAUUUGUAUUCGGUUUAGCAAAUUUAGUUACUAUGUUGUUAAAAAAGUUAGUAAUCCUGGUUGCUUUAGUAGUCUUCAGUUAAAAUCGUAAAAGAUAUAAUUACCCUUUUUCUUUACAACAAAUAAAUGAGAAAUAACACAUAUAAGAGAUAAAACUUUCAAUCUGAAAAAUGAUUAAGGUUGUGACAAAGAAAAAAGAGGGGGUAACGUUAGGGAGGAGGUCAAGGAGUUGGGAGGAGAAUAAUUUUUCUUUUAAUUUUUUAUUUUAUUUCAUAUUUAAAUAUUUCAAAUCAAAUAAAUAAUUUUAUAAAUAAGUUUAUAGUAGUUUAUAAAUUUUUCACAAAACUUAGAUGAAAAUGUCUUUAAUUGGCUAACUGAAAUAAACACAAAGAUCAAAUUGGCCAAAUUGAAAACAUAGGGACUAAAUUGACCCAAUGACUAAAACACAAGGACCAUUCUAACAUUUAAGCCAUUUUAAAAUUGAAACUAAAUAAAUAAGAAAAGAAUGAAUUGAGGGAUCGGGGAAGAUGAGUCAGCCACCACCACCUACAAACCACCACAUGACCCUCUAAAGGGUAAUUGAGUACACUGAACAAUUAUUAAAAGGGAGUUCUACCAUACAUGUCAUGCAAGAACUCCUAAGAUGCAAUAAUGCAAAGUAGUCCUUUGACAUAAGGCAUUAUAGUUGUCUAGUGAUUAGGUCCUUGAUCUUCGACAGUGUCAAAGGCAUUCUAUCGAGAGUUUCCAUGACAUCAUCAAGCUUAAGCUGCCUAGUCAUAUAGUACGACAAGGGAUCUCUAACCUUCCAUAGUGGAAAAAUAAUACUUUGAGGUACGAUUCAAGAGUCUUUGGCCAAAGCAAAUAAAUGAUAUUUAGGAAGUACGUCACAAACUACAUUCAAUAGAAUCAUAAACAAUGUGAUCAAGAGUAUUGAAUUAGAAAAGUACCGUAUUGCAUUGUAGUUGUAACUGGAUAGGUUCUCCAACCACUUUUGAUUAGCUUAAGUAGCCAUGACAUACUACUAGAUGUCACUCAUUGUGACACACCCCGACUGGAGUCGAGGCAUGCUAGCUGACACUUGAAGGUGACGCAGCCAAAGUGUAGGUGACGUGUAAAAAUAUGAAUAAAUUUAAAUUGAAGCUAAAAUUUAUUUAAACUAAUAAAGAGAGUGCGCAAUGGUGGGAAGAACCCAUAAUACACAAGUAGUCAGAGCAUAGAUGACAGUGCGACAUAAGCAAGACAAUCAAACUCGGUAUAAUAAUUAUUACACAACAGAAAAUAAACUCCUACAUUUAUUUGGGUGGAUGUCAGAAUCACCAGUGAUCCCUCGUUUGCCAUAGAAGAUUCAACUAACUAAGUCCUAGAGGGGCAAAAAAUAGAAAGUGUGAGUGGGCAAAAACAAAGGUUUGAGAAAUACAUUUAUUUUCAUAACAUACUAACCCCCUUGCCGUAAAACAAGUAUAGUUUCCAAAAAAUCAUACUAUGUAUGGAAUAAAAAAUAGUUCCAUAAUAAUCCAAGUAACACAAAUGAUCAUAAUAUCAACAACAGCAUAUAAAAAAUCCGUUGCUCAUCAAUAUAUGCUAACACUCGAGUUCAUGUAGAUAAAUUCUGACAUGAACAAGACUCGGUGUAAUCGUAAUAUUCGCUCUAGUACUACAAUCACAUGAAGACUGGCGCUAAGCGCAUCACAUAGGACUCCUAGUUGCCUAUUCCAACCUAGGACAAGAAUGGGACCUACAAUGGAUCCAAAGUGAGUGUGUCGGUGUUAUGUGAACAUACACGUGAAGCUCGACCCUAGCUCGGGGUGAGUCCUCCACCGGUGCAAGCAUGCAUGAUGAGCAGAUAAUGUGUAUAUGAACAUGCCAUGACAAUUUAUAAAUCUUAACAACAUAAUAGCACUAUUAAGAUGAAAUAAAAACAUGGCAUGAUAUGCAUAAUAUUAAAUCGAAAUGCAUUUGUGGAAACCAUAAGAAUUUAUAUAUAAUAUAUUUAAAAAUAAAUGGCCACUCAUUGAUACGUAGUCGGAUCGUAGCCUCCUAGCCUUACUUCACCUCGAAGCUGCUCAAGAUAAUUCUCCCCUAUAUGUGAAACAACUAUAAUAAUUAUUUAAUUAAAACAUACACGAAAAAAGCUAGGAAUUUCCCGUUUAGUUUUCUCAAACGAAGGGUUUAAAUAUACGAAAAUAUUCUACGCGACUUCACGGACCCUCACAUGUAGAACAUGCGCCACCACGAAAUGGCAAGAGUCCACACGUGCCUUCACGUGCCCCUGCAUGCGGACACACGUGAAGAAAACGCGCCUGCAUGCACUGGUAGAGAGCUAGGGAAUAUUCUGUGAAACUAACAAGAUAUUCCGUUAAAUAUAACGAAAGAUUCUGGUGUAUACCUUAACAACAUGAGAAUAUUUCGUCAAGCUCAACAUAAUAUUCUUCUUCUUCCUCAAACUUUCAGUCACUGUCACUGCCAUUCACUACCCCCGUCUGGUUCACUGGAAACAAAAAAGAUGCCAAUUUUUCUUAAAAACUUUAAAACCUCACAACUUCCUCAUUUCUCAAACAUUUUCGACGUUCAUUAUAUGGAAAUGAAGCUUCGAAGGAGGAGAAUAAGGUUAAACCUUUUGGGAGUCCAACAAAUGGAUGGAGGUGGAUUGAAAAUGGCUCGAAAGACUUGGCCCUUUUUUCGACAUCUCGUAACUAUGUGUUUUCAAAUUGGCUUGGCUUCAAACUUAGGCUAGGGACCUCAAGGAGUUGUGUGGUGGCUUCUAAAUCUUCCAAAAUGUUACAACUUGGACUAAAAAUCACUUAAGAAACUCCACCCGAGUCGAAGCUCCGAAUUGGGAACUCAAGACUCAGUUGUUUUCGAAUUAGAAGGUACGAAUGAGAUCGUGGUGAUGAGAUCAGUGCGAUGGUGGUGGUUUGGGCGUUGACCUAUAACCUUUCUAGGGUGGUGAAUUGUGUUGUAGAGAAGAAGAUAGAUACGUUGUGGUAAAGAAAGCGAGAGUGAAAUUACUUUAGUUGGACAAGAGAGAGAAAGAGAGGGAAGAAAAGUGAUUGGAUGGUAAGUAUGGUCUACCUUAAGGGAACCAGAUUUAAAAGGGAUGUGUCCACAAUUAGACAAUUCUAGGAGUUAAAAAAAAUCUACCUCUCCUUAUCUAAAAUAGUGUCCACCGACACUAGGUAACAUACACACAUGUGUACACUUUUACUAGUUGUUAACGAACUUUAAAUUAGAGUUGUUUCUUCAUUACAAAUCCGAUUCGGGUUUAAUUCAUGCUCACGCAUUUGUAAUAACGAGUACUAAUUAAUUAUGAUAAUAAGAAAACAAACUAAAUGCCGAGCAUCAAACGUCCACAUCAGAUUCCACUUUUUCCAAAAGGGCACACUUAAGAAGGAGAUUACAUGGAAAAUUAGGGACGGGCCAUCACAACCUACCCCCUUAAGAAAAGUUUGUCCCCGAGAUUUAUACACUACUGAGGAUUAUAGUCAAAGAACAAACGUGGAUAAUGAGCUCACAUGUGUUCCCCCGUCUCCUAAGUAGCUUUUUCAAUUACGUGGUUUCCCCAUAAGACUUUCACUAGUUGAAAAUUUUUAUUUUUGAGAACUUUUUCUUUCCAAUCUAGAAUCGUCAUUGGAACCUCAUUGUAAGUCAAGUUUGGGUUAAUCUUCAAUGGCUGGGGAUGAAUCACAUGUGACGGAUUAGAGACGUAUCUUCGUAGCUUGGACAUGAGGAACACAUUAUUUACCCUUAAUAAUUCUGGAGAUAAGUCAAGUUGGUAGGCAACUUCACCAACUUGCUCUAUAAUUUGAUAUGGCCCAAUAUAACGAGGACUUAGCUUUCCUUUCUUCCUAAAAUGUACCACACCCUUCCAUGGUGAUAGCCUUAAGAAUACCCAAUCUCCAACAACAUACACCCUGUCUGUUGAAUGUUUGUUUGCUAUACUCUUUAGUCAAUCUUGUGCAACUAUCAGGUUUUCUUUUUAUCACUUGAAUAUUCUAUUUCAUCUUGUCUACUAUUUCAAGACCCACUAAAGCUCUUUGGCCAACCUCGGACCAACAUAAUGGUGUACGACAAUGUUUCCCAUAUAGUGCCUCGAAUGGUGACAUACCAAUGCUUAAGUGGAAGCUGUUGUUAUAGGAAAAUUCUAUCAAAGGUAAGCAUUUGUGCCAUUCGUUUCCAAACUGAAGGACUGAAGAUCUCAUCAUGUCUUUAAGCGUCUAAAUAGUUUUCUCGGAUUAUCCAUUGGUCUGAAGAUAAUGAGCGGUACUGUAGAGUAAAUUCAAACCUAGGGCUUUGUGAAAAGCUACCCAACUUUUCGAUGUAAAUCUAGGGUCAUGAUCAUAAAUAAUACUAGCUGGAACACCAUGGUAUUUGACAAUUUCAUAGACGAAAGGCUCAGCUAACUGACUUCACGAGUAGUUUUCAUGAAUAGGUAGGAAAUACGCUGACUUGGUAAGUCAGUCAACAAUCACCCAGAUGCCAUCAUAGCCAUUAUGUGUGCGAGGCAGCUUGUACACAAAAUCUAUAGUACUAUUAUCCCAUUUCCACUGAAGUAUAGGAAGUGGCUGUAGCAGCUCGAAUAGUUUCUUUCUUUCUGCUUUAACCUGCUAACAGAUUGGACAAUGACUCACGUACUCAACAUAUUCUCUUUUCAUUCCUAGCCAAUAGUAGAAAGGUUAGAUGGUAUUAUACAUUUUAGUACUCCCGAGAAUCAUCGCAUAAGUGGAAAUGUAUGCCUUAGUAAGAAUUUAUUUCUUCAGUUCUUCCAUAUUCGGUCACCCUGCGUAAGUAUACCAUUAUCUUUUUGUAUUCAAAGAUCUCUUAUGUUACCAUUCAACACCUCUUGUUUCAAUUCCAGGGAUUCUGAGUCAUUCAUCUGAGACUUGAAAGUUGGCUAGUAAGGCUCCCUGAUCAACUCCCAAGAUGGCUCCAAUAGUUCUAAGGUUAAUUAGAAGAGGAAAAUGACAUGCAUAAAGAACAUUGAGUUGACCGUGAGAUUUUCUACUGAGAGCAUCUGCCAUACUAUUCCUACGACUGGGAUGAUAUUCAAUAGUGGUCAUAGUCGCUGAUGAACUCCAUCCAUCUAUGCUGCCAGAGGUUAAGUUCUUUAUGAGUAAAGAUAUAUUUGAGGCUUUUGUGAUCAAUGAAGAUUCGACAAGUUCCCUAUAGAGAUAGUGCUGCCAAAUUUUUAGAGUGAAAACAAUAGCUGCCAAUUCCAAAUCAUCGGUAGAGUAGUUCAUCUUAUAGGGUUUUGAUUGUCGCGAAGCAUAUACGAUUACCUUUCCAUGUUGCAUCAACACACAUCCCAAACCAUUUAGAGAGGCGUCAUUGUAGAUCUCGAAAUUUCCACUGUCAUCGGGAAAUGCCAGGAUAGGUGCAUGAGUAAGACAUCACUUCAACUAUUAGAAACUCCGUUCACAAUCAUCAUUCCAUGUGAAUUUAACUAUUUCCUGGUCAACCUUGUCAGAGGUAGCGCUAUGGCUGAAAAAUCUUUCACAAAGCAUCGAUAAUAGUCGGCUAGACCAAGAAAACUCUAUACUUCAAUGACGGUCUAAGGUUGCUCCCAAUUUUCCACUACAACAACUUUAUGAGGAUCCACGAGAAUACCUCACGUGUCCCAGGAAAGACACCUGAUCCAACCAAAACUGGCAUUUACUGAAUUUAGCAUACAAUUGAUUAUCCCUUAACUUCUUUCAAACCAAACGCAGAUGUCUAGCAUGGUCAGCCUCAUUCUUGGAAUAUACUAAAAUGUAAUCAAUGAAGACUAUUAUGAACUUAUGAAGGUACGAACGAAAUACCCAAUUCAUUAGGUCCAUAAAAGUUGCUAAAGCAUUUUUUAACUCGAAUAGCAUCAAUAGAAACUCAUAAUGACCAUAUCGAGUUAUGAAGGUUGUUUUCAAAACAUUGUCACUUCUAAUUUUUAACUGAUAUGAACCAGACCUUAAAUCAAUUUUUGAGAAAACGCAAGCACCACAGAGUUAAUAACAAAGAUUGUCAAUAUGAGGUAACAAAUAAUAAUUUUUAAUUGUUACCCGAUUCAACUAUCUGUAAUCAAUACAUAGCCUUAUAGUUCCGUCAUUCUUUCUUACAAACAAGACUGGAGCUGCCCAAGGGGAAGUGCUGGGCUGAAUGAAACCCCUUAUCAACAAGUUCUUGUAACUGGGUCUUCAAUUCUCUCAACUCUGUAGGUGUCAUACGAUAAGGUGCUAGAGAAAUAUGAUCAGUACCUGAAAGUAGGCUGAUGAUGAACUUCACUUCUCGAUCCAGUGGUAAGCCAGGUAGAUCAUCGAGAAAAACAUCAAGAAAAUAAUUAACUACUCAUAUAUCUUCAAUUCGUGUAGGAAUAUCUUCAGUCAUCAUUACGUGAGCCAAGUAGCCUUAGCAACCAUUUCUCAACAUUCGUUUUGCCUUCACGGCGGAAAUGACUCCGUGUCUCAGACAAUUACGUUCACCAACAAAGGUUACAAUAGGCCUGCUUGGUCGAUGGAAUGUAACGAUUUUCUCACGACAGUUCAACAUGACAUAAUUGAGAUCUAACCAAUCCAUGCCUAAGAUUACAUCGAAGUGAACAAUAUCCAAAGGAACGAGAUUAGCUGGCAUUACUUCAUUCUCAAUAAGGAUUCGAUACUCUCAAUGAACAUAAAAAAUCUCACUUCUAGGAAUUGAGAAUUCUAAAUCAUAUCCAAGGGGAGUAAGGUGUGGUUGAGUCUUUUAAGUGCUUUACUAUCCAUGUAUGACUUUGAAAGCCUAUGUCUAUAGCACUACAUAUCAUAUUUUUCUUCAAGUCUUUAAUUGAGUUUAGCUCUUUUGUUUGGAAGUAUAGAUAUUAGAUUUGUUUUCAUCUGUGUUAUAUGUGAGAAAUGUCUAAUUAGCUGUAGCUUAAUGAUACUAAGAUUAUUCUCAUCUCAUGUGUUAUUUGUUGGUCUUAAGUGUGGUAUCCUCUAAGGGUCAUUGCUUUUGGUACCAAAAUUGUUCUCAAAAUGUGUGUUUGCUUUUUCUGUCCAGUCGUUGGUACUCAUAAAAAAGAGUUGUUCUUUAAGGGUAUUUCGAUCUUUGCACUUUAUGUUUUAACCUUCAAAAUCUCAAUUGUUUAUACCAUCUAUACAGUUCAGAUUAUUUCACAUUAUCAUAGGCAUUUACCCCUUCUAACCCCAUUAGGUUUUUACAUUCACCCUUAUUUGUGCCAUUUGCUCUCAUCCUCUCACUCUCUUUUUUCAAACUAGGAGCAAAUGUUACCAUAGAAGAGUUUCGAUCAUGUCUUCGAGUCAAACAUCAUCCCAUCACUCCAGUAUGCAACCUAAUCUUCCUCAUCGCAAAACUUAUUCAAAGCUGAUAAUGAACCUUCAGACACUCUGCCGCCCAUGUUUCCCACAUCUCGAGCCAAGAAAUUUUUCGAUGUUAUAGCUGCCAAAAAAGUUGUUCUUGAGAGAAGAAUUGUCUUGGAUGACCUCCUUGUGUCUGAUGCCAUCUUGUCUGAUGAUACAAACUUUAUCGGUAAACUCACCUCCUUUUACCUUCAAUCUUUCAAUGGUUCAAGAAUUUUAUGCAAAAGUUUCGUCUAAGUUUCUUGACUCUGGUGGUGAAGUGUAUGUUUAUGAAGUCCUUGUCCAAUUCGAUUCAUCUGUCAUCUGCUCUGUUUUAAGCCUUGAGCCUCUUAUGUUUCUGAUAUGUACAACUUUGACCUUCUGACAUGUCAAUAUGACAUGAAAUCUUAUCAUCAAGAAGCUUAUUUGGACCUGUCCACUCCUCUGGUUAAAAAUCAUGUGUCAAAAUCUCGUCUUAAACCGUUUUAUAAGAUUUGGUCUGACUUUAUUCAUAGAAAUAUUCUAGGCUCGUCAAAUAAUGGAAAUCAUACUCUAAAGUCAGCAAAAAUAUUGCAUGAUAUGUUAAGUCUGUCAGAUGUUCCAUUUGGGUACUUGAUAUUUAGGUCCAUUAUGUAAAAAAUCAAGCAUCCUAGGAAACAACAAAGAGGCUCUACAAUUCACUCGUGUCUAAUCACCUUGUUGUGUUAACGUGUAAACUUCCCCUCUCGCUCUGAUGAUACGUGUCCUCAAUCCACAAAGGAUUUGGAUAAAGGGUUUAUGAACCUAAGCAAAAAAUUGCUUAUCUAGAGUCUGAGAUUAACUAUCUCGGUAGAAAGUUUGUUAAGUUUCAAUCGUCAAUAAGUCAACUUGCGUCUUUACCUCAUGCACAGUCAUUGAGUCAGUUUUCCCAAAAUCCAUCUUUAUUUGUGCCUAAGUUCGUUGUUCGUCCUCCUAAAUUAACUCCUAAAAGCUCAGUGAUUCCUUCACCUUCCAUAGUUGCUCCUUAACGUCAAAUUGUACCAUUGUCACCAUCCUAUUUCACUGCCACCUCAUUUGCUCAUUCUCGAGAUGUUGCUACAAAGAUGGCUGUAACUUAUGCUGCCAAAGGAAAAAAGGUUGUCUUUCAUGGAACAUUGAAACUAUCCUCUCUCCCUGUUCCUAUGGCCAAGCAUAUUAGGUUCAAGUACUCAGAUGUUGAGGAGGAUGAAGCUGAAGAGGAUCUUGAGGAAGACCCUGCUGAGGAAACUGAGGCCACUGGUUCACCACUUCACUCAAAUGCGUAGUCUCAAUCUGAGAUGUUCUAGAUUAUAUGGGAGUGUGGUUUGGAGUGUAGUCUCUUAGGAGAGCACUAAUCUUGGGGAGUUUAAUUUCUUUUGCGUUGUUAUCAAGCAUUUGCACUUAAACUUGUAAUUUGAAACUCCAAGUUUUUUUGUAUAUGUGCUUGUGCUACUCUUGGUUGUGUUGACACAUGGGUACUUUGAACAUAUUACAUUGACAUGCAUUUAUGUUUCAAUAUUUGGGUACCGCGAAUUGAACCUUGUGCUUAAACUGCUUUGUUAUGUUAUCUCUUUGUUGUUAGUUCUUAUAUACCUUGUUGGUGGUGGUUCAUUUUGUGUUGAGCUAAAUUGACAUAUCAUUUUUGUUGUUCAAUGAAACUGAUGUAUCGUUCAUUUUUAAAUCCUGUGUCUUUGCCAUGACAAAAUGGGGGAGAAAAAUUAAAAUUUGAAAAUUUGUGUUAUGUUGCAAUCAUGUACAAUGCUAAACAAUUUACUUCCUUGCAUUUGCUUUAACCAUGAUAACUUUUCUCUUGGUCCUUGUCAAGAGUAUUUCUUUGCAAGAUUCCUCAUUUAUGUUCUCUUGAGUGAGGUUGAGUGAAUUUAGUUAUAGGGUUUGACUUAAUUUGUUAAGGAAAGCCAAAGCGGGAGAUUUUGAAGUCUAGUUUUAUUGUUUGGCUUCCCUUGUCAAAUGUUGUAAAUUGUACCACACAUGCUCUAGUUAGUUUUAGGGUUUAAAUUACUACUUUGGGAUUAUGCUACUGGAAAUAUUCAUCUUAAGAGCUUAACCUCUCACAUCAAAGUUUGUUUAUACAUAUGCAUUUCAUGCCAUUUAUUUCCAGUACAUUAUGUCCAGUGGUUUUGUCUAGUCAAAUCUUCUCGCUGCUUUCAUGCAAGCUGGGCACACACUUUAAGACAACCCAUAUGGGUCAUUUGACAACUUUUUCUUGAAAAUGUUUUUUCAGCCCUAGAUCUUUCUAGAUUGCUUUUGCACAUGACACAUAGCUUUUCUUGUCCCAUUUCUUGUCUGAAACAAAGCCCACCAUAAAAGCUUCAUCUUUGUUAUUUGGCUUAAAGAUUUAUAUUUUCUGAUAAGGGUUGUUUUCAACUGUGAGUUGCCCCUUAGUUCUUACUUGAAAACUCUAGCCACAAAAUCACACUCAUGCACUAAGUACCCACAUCAUUGCAUAUUAGGGUAGCAUUGCUUUUGUGAUUUUGAUCUUUGUUUUAGGUCAAGUUUUCCUAAGUUUCAAAUCUUUGAAUUGACCUCUUUUUGGAUUCGCGUCAAUUUCAUCUUUCAAGUGUCUGACUAGACAUUGAAUCCAAAUUUCCAUCAACUUCAUCAUAAUAUCAUUUGCAUAAGUUGAUUGGAUUUCGGUGCCACAAGGUGAAGAUGUUAGGAGGAGCUGCCACUUCAUGAAGACUAAAGAAGUCCAUUUCGUGAAAGGCAAGGUUGCACAAAGGUACAAGCUGCUCCGCAAAUUAAGAUUUAAGAAUUGAGCUUGUGUGGUUUUUCCAACCAAAAUCCAGUGCAAUUUAUUGCUUUAUUAGUUUACUUAUCUUCCUUUUUCUUGUGAUAUAUGCUCAUCAUUAUCCGCAAAUAGAUAAGUCCUUGUAACUAAGCUUGUAAAAGUAAAAUGCGCACUAAACUGGAUCUUAGUUAAUUAGGAACAUUUUAGUAAACUAAACUUUAAUUUGAUUUCUUCCACUUUGAGUAAACUAACAUAUCUGAGCUUAAUUGAUGAGUGUUGCUGACUAGUCAGACAAGCACGUAUACAGUUUUUAAACUGUAGGUUAUUCCACUUUGUACCAAUUUCAAAAGGUUUGAGAAAUAUCAUAUCCUAAAACAAGUACAAUUUCUAGAAAAUCAUACUGCAUAUACAUAUAGAAUAAAAAACAAUUCCACGAUAAUCUAAGUAACACAACAAAUCACAAUAUAUCAAUAGUAACAUAUAAAAAAUCGGCGCUCAUCAAUAUAUGCUAACACACGAGUUCAUGCAGAGAAAUUCUGACAUGAACAGGACUGGGUGUAAUCAUAAUAUACGCUCUAGUACUACAAUCACGUGAAGAUUGGCAUUAAACGCAUGACAUACGAGUCCUAGUUUCCUAUUGGAACCUAGGACAAUAUUAGCACCUACAAUGGAUCCAAAGUGAGCGUGUCUGUGUGAUGUGAAUAUACAUGUGAAGCUUGGCCUUGGCCCUGGGCGAGUACUACACCAGUGCAAGCAUGCAUGAUGAUCAAAUAAUGUAUAUAUGAACAUGCCAUGACUAUUUAUAAAUCUCAACAAUAUAAUAGCACUUUUAAGAUGAAAUAACAACAUGGCAUGAUAUGUAUAAUAUUAAAUCGAAAUGCUUUUGUGGAAACCAUAAGAAUUUAUAUAUAAUAUAUUUAAAAACAAAUGCCCACUCACUAAUACGUAGUCGAAUUGUAGCCUCCUAGCCUUGCUUGACCUCGAAGCUCCUCGAGAUAAUUCUCCCCUAUAUGUGAAACAACUAUAAUAAUUAUUUAAUUUAAAUGUACACGAAAAAAGUUAGGAAUUUUCCAUUUAGUUUGCUCAAAUGCAGGGUUAAAAUAUACAAAAACUUACUACAUGACGUCACGGACUCUCACAUGCUGACCACGCACCGCCACGAAGUAAUAGGAGUCCACAUGUGCCCUUACGUGCCGCCUGCAUGCGGACACACGCGCAGCCACGCGUAGAACACGCACCUGCACACACAAGCAGAAAGCUAGGGAAUAUUCUGUCAAACUGACGGGAUAUUCCAUUAAAUAUAACAAAAGAUUCUUGUAUAUACCUUAACGGUGUGAGAACAUUUCGUUAGGCUAAACGGAAUAUUCUCCUUCUUCCUUAAACUUUCGGUCACCGUCGCGCCAUUCACCGCCGCUAUUUGGUUCACCAGAAACUGGGAAAAAAUGCCAGAUUUUCUUAAAAACUUUAAAACCUCAUAACUUCCUCAUUUCUCAAACAUUUUCGACAUUCUUUAUAUGGAAAUGAAGCUUGGAAGGAUGAGAAAAAGGUUAUACCUUUUGGGAGUCUAACAAAUGGAUGGAGGUGGACUAAAAAAGGCUCAAAAGACUCGGCCCUUUUUCCAACUUCUCGAAUCUGCAUGUUUUCAAGUUGGCUUGGUUUCAAACUUAAGCUAAUGACCUCAGGGAGUUGUGUAGUGGCUUUUAACUCUUCCAAAAUGUCAAAACUUGGAUGAAAAUUUUCCAAAGAAACUCUACUCGAGUCAGAGAUCUGAAUUGGGAACUCAAAACUCAUUUGUUUUCGAAUCGGAGCGUACGGAUGAGCUCGUGGUGUUGAGAUGAGUGCGAUGGUGGUGGUUUGGGCAUCAAUCCGUAACCUUUCUAUGGUGGUGAAUUGUGUUGCAGAGAAGAAGAAGAAGAGAGAGAGAGAGAGAGAGUGAGUGAAAUUACUCUAAUUGGACGAGCGAUAGGGAAGGAAAGUGAUUGGAUGGUAAGUAUGGUUUCCCUUAAAGGAAUCGGAUUUAAAGGGAAUGUGUCCACAAUUAGACAAUUCUAUGAGUUAAAAAAAAAAUUCUACCUCUCCUUUUCUAAAAUAAUGUCCACCGACACUAGGUAAAACACACACACACACAUGUACACUUUUACCUAUUGUUAACGAACUUUAAAUGAGCAUAGUUUCUUCGUUACAAAUCCAAUUCAAGUCUAAUUCACGCUCACACAUUCGUAAUAACAAGUACUAAUUAAUUACAAUAAUAUGAAAACAAACUAAAUGCCUAGCAUUAAAUGUCCAUGCUGGAUUCCACUUUUGCUAAAAAGGCAUAUUCAUCGUUUUACGUACUUGGGAAGGAGAUUACAUGGAAAAUUAGGGACGGGUCAUCACUCAUUGUUUGUGGAAGCCCUGAAGAUCAACAAACGCUAAUCUUCAGCAAAGGGAGAAUUGAAAAUUAGUAUAAAUACACUAAUGAUUGUUAAGAUUUACAAUCGACUACUGCCUCGCUAACUGGAAACUACUGGAUCGUACACCGAACAAUGAUGAAUGUGAAGAAAUAUCAAUGAGGUGGAUAAGCAAUUAAAUGGUUUAAUUGAGUAUGGUCAAGAUUAAUUAAUUGCUUAAUUAAUCAUACCAAUAGUUUCAUAUUUGCUUUAUGUUAGUUUCAGGAAUUUAGUCCAAAAAUAAAGAGGGAGGCCGUCCGCAUGCAAGGGAAUUGGUGAUGAACUUAUUACAAGUUUGUCACAGAAUUGUGAGGAUGUGUUAAUGCAACUUUAUUGUCUUUCCCUCAUUAGGGUUUUCUUGAGGCAAAAAGGAGAAAUAUUUCCUCUCUUUCUAUAUAUAGGAAGCCGGCCACACUUAGAGGAGUUGAGCUAGCAAUCUUCCUUCCUCUAGGCCAUCCAUAUUUUCUUCACACCUUUGGUGUGGAGACUUAGAAGGACCAAACCUUUGGUGCUUGGAGAUUCCUUUCUCAAAUCCUUAAGGAGCAAAGGAGAAGCAAAGAGGCAACCAUCCAAGGAGAGAAGAACACAAACACAAGAAAGCAUUCAAUGAGCUUGAAGUGAUCUUGAAGGCCUUCCACUUGGGUGAAUCCCUUGUGUAAUCAGGGAUGAGCUUCAAGGGGAAUAAAUUUUGAAUCUCUCUUCUCUUUAAUAUGUAAAGAGUCACAGUUCACCAUUCACUAGGCUUUGAAAGUCAUAGAUUAUAAAUUGUUUUUGUGUGCAUGCAUACUUUAAAAUGUUAUAUGUAUGCUUGUAUGUUCAAAUAUCCUUAAAUGUUAUUAGUUAGGACAAUUUUUCCUUCAGCCACUACCUCAUUAAAGUCUAAACAUCACAUAAAAAGUGAAACUUAAAUUUUAAAAUAUUCAUUAGUUCUCUCAGUUAAGUCAUGCCCCAGAUUGUAGCAAUUUUUAUUUGACUCUUAAAAGUACAAAACAAGCUAUCAUUAUUACUGUUACCUAUAAUUCUGGUAUAAAUAUGAAUAUAUUCCAAUAAUCUAGCAACAUGAAUAAAAUCCAAAAUUUUUAAAAUCUUAUCGACAAGAAAACAAAAAUCACACAGCAGCAAUAUCUCAUCAAACUAUGCUUUAUGUUAGUGAAUCAAUUGUCUUGGUUUGCAGCUUCACAAGUCGCCUUGUUAUGUAAUUAGAACAACCUAAAAGACAAAUGGACAAAAAAUGCAUUGAUAUCAUACUAAAAAUUUGAUACUUUUCGAUUUUCUGAGUAAAAAAUAAAAAGAAGUUCAAAUAGCCAAAAUAUUUCCACAAAUAAUACAAAAUUAUCAAUUAUAAACACAUGAAAAAUCACCAAAAUCUAAAAUCUUCAAACUGGACACUAUUUCCAUAACUGCCAAAACCACCAAAAUUAUCACUUAUAAACACAUCUAAAAUCACCAAAAUUUGAAGGGACCAAACUAGACCCGCUUUAAAAUGAAACGGGCCGGGACGGACCGGGUAAUGAAAUUUCUAAAAUUGGAACCGGCCAUAACCCGACCUGUUUGAAACAAGCAGUUCGAGCUGGGUCCAUGGGUCCAACAGAAGGGAACGACAUCAUUCAAGUCUGUGUUCCUCCAACGCGAAACCCAGAUUCCCAGCAACAUCAAGAAGUCGAAUCAUAAAACCACCAUGACUGAAAGGCACUGCAAACUUGAUGCUCUCAAGCUUUGACGAUCUUCACCACUUUGACGUGCAAGCUUACAUACUUUGUGAACGAGAGUCUUACUCAAUUCAGUGAUUGCAUCAAUAAAUAAAACAAAAGGUUAAUCAAAUGUAUUAGUUUUGUGCAGAAAACUGAAUAAUUUCCAAUCAUUCGUUAACAAUAUAAGAAAUCCCACGGAAACAAAAACCCUAGACAAAUUGAAAACUCUCAACUAUGAAGAAACAAAAACCCACCACCACUAAACAUGGGUUGGGCCUUGGAAGGUACUAGGUAAUUUAAGCUUGGCCUGGAUGAUCAUUUCGCUGAUGAAAUAGGAGGCCUCGCUUCUGAAUCUUUGCAUCUGAUGCCACGUGCCUUCUCUCUUCGAACUUCUUGCGGACCUCCGCUGUCGCGUAGUUUAGCAUCGUCACGUCUCCGGCGAACGACUUCCAUGCCGCUCGUAGGAAAGCUUUGUACAUGUUAGUACUUUUGCUCUCGCCAUCUCAGUCUCUCUACUUUGCCCCUCUCAGUCCCCUCUCAGUCCCCUCUCUCUUUUUGAUCUGGACCUAUACGCCAUCUUCGUGGGAGAGACUGAGCAUAUUACGGUCAGAAAUAAAGGGAUGUGAAGAAGUUUGGUGAUGUUCGAAUUAGGGGUGCGAGAGAAAUGAGAGACGUGAGGAAGUUUGCUGGACUUGCAGAGAGUGAGAGAGAAAUGAGAGACACAUGAACUUGAAGAAGGGGUGGGUUUCAGUUUGAAAUCGAAGAAGGGAAAAGACUCUAGAAGCCUGGGAAGGUUUCAUUUUGUAUAAUUAUUGUAGAAACAGGCCCAAUUUCAUUGUAUUAUCAUUAUAGGAAUGGGCUUAUCCAUUCAUUCAAAUAGGUGGGUUUCUAUUCCCCCAGCAGUGCAAUCCAUUGCAUUAUAGAAACGGGCCAGGUUAGGGUCCCGUGGGUCUGAAGAUUUGGACCCAUCCCGCCUCGUAUAUAUCACUACCCUGCCCUGCCUCGUUUGUUCUAAAAAAAAAUUGGACCCGCCCUGACCCACGGGUCCUCUACCUGUUUACCCACCCUUACUGAACACUGCCACUAUCUCUAGAUCCGAGCACUGUCACUGUCACUUUUUCUAAAACUGAUCAAUGUCACUGCCACUAUUUCUAUAGUUGAACAUUAUCGUUAUUUCUAGAACUACACACUAUCACUAUUUCUAGAAAUACACAAUGUCAAUACCACUAUUUAUAGAACUAAAUACUACCACUACUUCUAGAACUGAGCAUUGUCACUAUUUCUGGAAAUGAACUUUGCCAUAUUUCUAGAACUAAACACUGCCACUAUUCUAGAAUUGAACACUACUACUAUUUCUAUAAAUAACACUGCCACUAUUUCUAAACAAAACAGUCGCAUGGGAAAGCUCCACAUGAUUGUAACAUGGAGAAAAUGCUAGUGUAGACAUGGAAAUUUCGUUGCAUGCAAAUGAUGCAUCACAAAGCUCCACAUGUCAUAUAACUUAUCACAAAUGGACAAGUCAUCAACAUGUGGCAUAAAUUAAGCAAAAGAAGAUCAAAAGCAUUCCUAAAAUGCAGUAAUGGGGGACAAAUCUCCUUAAAAUCGGCAAGGGGCCCAAAUUGCUCCCAAAACCAGAAACAAAGCUAAAGUAUCUUCACAAAACAAGCAAGAAUUGAAGAUUGCUCACAAAAUAGGCAAGGGGCCCAAGUUCUCGAGUUUUAUAAAUACAUUCUGGUGCGAAAAUUAUCUUAACACACAAAUUAAACACUCUUGUUGUCAAUUGUAGUAAAGAAUGUAAGUAGGGAUCGUUCUAGGCCGGGGAUUAGGAGGGAUUGCUAAAACACUUGAAACUGACUUUAAAACGUAAAAUUAAGUUUAAAACACCAAACUAGACUCAAAAGAUGCAAUACAAACUAAAAAGACUCAAAACUAGUUUAAAAGACUCAAAACUGCUUAAAACAAUGAAUUAGACUCUAAACUAACUCUAGGGAUGGUUUUGGACGAAAUUAGGUUCUAACUUGACUCAAGACACUUAAAAACACAAAUCAAAAUAGAUUUUGACUAAUAAAACACUUUAAACUAAAGGGGGAUUUGAUUUGACGAAUUUGAAAACAAAACAAACAGAUUGUAAACUAAAACAGAUUUUGGACGAAUUUGGGUAAACUAUGGAUGAUGGGCUAGCUAAAGGAUUCUUCUCCACACAUGACAUACUUGCACAUAAACCAAUUUUCAGUUGUUCUUUCGAUCAAUCAUGAAACUCAACGCCCCAGGUUAAUUAAGUCCGCUUAAAUUAACCUUCAAGUUCUCCUUAAGUUAUUGAAUUGGAUGGGAAAGCGCAUACAAUUCAAGCAUUCUUCAAAAGUCCUUUACAUGAACAGCACAAUAAAGAUACAAUCAAGGAUCAUUAAGCAUUAUGAAAACUAUAAGUAUUGACGAGGCAUUCGUUGCUAUGAUGAGCAUGAAACUCCUGCCAAGAAUUCAUUUAACGCGAUCGUUUAUAAGUGACCUCCACUACUUGUGAAUAUAAGUUUGUAACUAUUAGGUGAAACUCCCUUAUACUCUAGCAUCAUAUUCAUGCAUGCAAACUAAGUGUGCACUCUUAAUAAACAUACACGAAUAAGUUAUCAAUUAAGUAGUUAAACAAAUUGAAUUAAUAACUUAUGAAAUCACAACUGAAGGUAAUCAAAUCAUAUUGCAAGCAGGAACAUGGUUUCGAAUUCCCCCCUAGCUAAGGGGGGUUUAGUUCCUCAUACUCACAAAGCAAAGAUAAACAAAUUUAGAUAUUGAAAACAAAAGAAUGAAAACACCUAAAAACGCUUCAACAAUCCAACUUGAAUGGCAAGCACGUCCAAGGGUCCUCCUUCUUCUCUUUGUUGCUGCACAAGGUGUGGUUUGAUGUUGCGGCACAAUGUGUCUUCCUCCCUUCUCCCUAAACUGUCCAUGUGAAUGUGUCUUUGGAUGGAUAUCUCCUCUCCUUUGUUAUGGUGAAGGGUGGAUGUAUUUAUAGGCUAGGGAGAGGACCACCAUCUAAUUAAGGUGGUAGUGGUGUAUGUUGUGGUAAUGAGUGGAUGUAAUGGGUGUAGUGGGUGAAUGUUUGGUAAUGAGUUGAUGUAAUGGGUGUAGUGGGUGAGUGUUUGGUAAUGAGUGGAUGUAAUGGGUGUAGUGGAUUGAUGUUUGGUAAUGAGUGGAUGUAAUGGGUGUAGUGGGUGAAUGUUGUGGUAAUGAGUGAAUGUAAUGGGUGUAGUGGGUGAGUGUUUGGUAAUGAGUGGAUGUAAUGGGUGUAGUGGAUGGAUGUUUGGUAAUGAGUGGAUGUAGUGGGUGUAGUGGAUGGAUGUUUGGUAAUGAGUGGAUGUAAUGGGUGUAGUGGAUGGAUGUUUGGUAAUGAGUGGAUGUAAUGGGUGUAGCGGAUGGAUGUUUGUAGUUGUAGGUCAACACACUUGCACACACACAUGCUGAUUUCUAGCCUUCAAAUCUUCAAAAACGUCCAUCUUCAUGUCUCCAUGCUUGCACUAUCCAAUCCUGGCCCAAAAAUGCUCCAAAAUGCUCCAAAUAGCACUUUGUUUCUAACUUUGUUAUUUGAACCUACAAACACACGAAAAUAGCUUAAAGUACUAAAAUAACUAGAAUUAAACUAAGUAAAUGCCAAGAAACAAGCUAACUAAGUUGCAUAAAUAUGCUCCUAUCAAAUUCCCCCACACUUAGCUUUUGCUAGUCCUCGAACAAAACAAAAGAAACAAAAUGAAACAAAACAAACAAAACACAACCUAACCUUCCAACAUUUGCCUCAGGGAUUUCCAAUGCACAUGACAUGUUAAAAAUCAUCAUUCCCACAGAUUUUGGUUAUCUUCACACUUGAGCACAAACUUAAUCACAGUCACUACUUACUAGUUCACAAUUAACCAAUUAAAAUAAUGUUUUGAAUGUAGUAACAUGCUUAGAGAAUUUGCUCAAUUCUUUACAAGAUACUCUCUAUUUUCACACACAUUUUCUGACUACACACCCUACACUAGAGACUGGGACUCACAUAUGUUAUAACAAAGGAAGCAAUUUUCUGGAGUUAUUAAGGAUGUUUAGAUAUGAUCUCAUGAAUGGUAUGCUACUACUUAGAUGCGAGAACCAGUGACACCAUAUGCUCAUACCAAUUUCUAACUCCACAAAUUGAAACCCACAACACUCAAGAUUAAAGUCAAGGGUUGUAACAUGGCUUGGGGGUAAUGGCUAACAAAGAAAGGAUAGGAAUAACAAACGUUCUUAAAGCGAUAGCAAGCAAAGCAAUUAAAUAGACACUUGGAAUUCACUUUAGAAUGCAGAAUCAACUUUUACAUACAAAGGGAAGAUUCAUGCAACACUUAGGGCCGAAUUCAAUGUUUUGGACAUUUUUUUAACAAACAACACUUUAGAGCUCUUUUUCAUACUUUUUUUUUCUCUACCUGUGCCUUAUUAAGGACUUUGGUACACACACACACAAGAAUCACUUCCCCCACACUUGCUUUCUGCAAUACAUUGAUCAAAAAGGGGUUCAUUUUAGGUCAUGCUUUACUAUGCUUCAAGAACAAAGGUAUGGAUGAUCCUAAAACUAGGCUAGGUAAGGAUAGUGUGGGUUAACAAAGAACAUAGGCUUAACAAGGCUCAACGGGGUUAAACUUAAACACAUAAUGAAAUAAGGGCACGGCAAUUUGGCUUUGGUGGUCACUACGCAACUUCAUCUUGAAUAUGUGUUAUGCAAAUCAAUAGCAUGCUUUGAAUGAAAUAGGCAUGAGUUCUAGCAUUUGGAACUAAAUGAUGAAACGCCUUCUAAGUAGCAACCAAGCAAAGAAUAAUGAGAUCAUGCAACGACUUUAGAAAACAAUGAUGCACAUAUUAUUAACUCUCCAAAUAAACGUUUAGGCUCAAGUCUCACAAGGUUGUAGUGUUCAUUUGAGUUCCUUCCUUCAAGCAUGUUACAAAAACUGAUUUUUCCUUUAUGAUUGCAUGUGAAUUCAUAAAUUAUAACCACAACCAAGCAUACACCAAAGAGUAAAUCAAAUUUUCAUCCAUGUUUAUAACUCUCUUUAACAGUCAUGUAAUUAAAAACCAAAUCCUCAUCAUUGUGUUGGAAGGUACCCUAAGACACAAAUAAACACACAAAAACAACUCUUUUUGGGUUUUUCAAAACAAUUUUUUUUUUCAAAUUUUUAUGAGAUUUUUGGAUUUUUAUGUCAAAACACACUAAAACACUCCAAAACAGCUUAAAAACACUUAAAACAGCAAGGAACAACACUAGAAGUAAUGGGUGAUAAACUCCUACGAAUUUCAUGCAAAACAACUUGGUUACCCCCCCUCCCCCACACUUAAAUCAAACAUUGUCCUCAAUGUUUCAAGCAUAAACUCACACAAAAACAAGCAAACAAACAAACAACAAAUAAACAUGACAAGUAUGGUAAAGUAAAAACUAGACAGAGUAGAGUUUAAGAACGCAAAUCUGGUUUUGGAGAUAGAUGAUCUUGGCGACUUUCCACAGCUUUGAUCUAGAACUGGUUUGGAAUUAUGAGCGAGGAAUAUCAGAGUUCCUUGGUUUCAAAUCAGACUCCUUUUGCUGGGUUGAUUUGAUUGUAUAGUCUGCAUUAUUCUCUGCUUGUUCUUCUGCAUUGUGCAGUCUGCAUUCUUCUCUGCUUGUUUCUUCUGCACGGCAUGCAGGCACGAGGUAGAGGUGAUGGUCUGUUUCUUUCUUCAAUCUUUCUAAGUGCCCACCAUUUGCUUUCUUUCUCCUUGUCCCUAGCUGAGGAUGAAUUAGCACAUUGUCUCCACAUGCUUCGAGGUAUCAUUUUCACUUCCCUUAUCUGUUCCCCAGGCAGAUGUGGUAGACGAAGAGGAAGCAUAAGAUGUUGAAGAUGAGUACUCGAGAGCAAGGCUAGGUUAGCAAUCAGGAAGGAGUUCCAGGCAGUCGGUUCCAGAUCGGAAGAUUGAUACCAAGUGUUGGCUGAUUGCUUUCUUUCUCCUUAUCCCGCAGAUAAAAAUAACGACAAGGAGAAGGACAGGGAGAAAGCAUGAUAUGAGAUACUCUUGCUUUCAACCUUCAUGAUAUGAAAUACUUUUGCUUUGGAUGAGUUGUUUGCAGAGGUACCCCAAGGAAUAAGGAACACUGAGUGACUCGAGAGGCUUCGUUGGGAAGGCAUUCUCGGAGAUGAAGAAAGGUUAUGUAUGUCUGCCUUGCAAUGAAGGGUGAAGGUUGACAUUUAUAGGAAUUAAUAACCAGUACUAUUCUUUCACUCUUGUCGGCAACCGUUGGAUGAUUUAACAAUAAACUUCACGUGUCUUCUACUUCACAAGAAAUCUUAGACAGAUUGCCCGUAAUUUCCGCAAGGCUGAGUGUGCAUAUGACAGGUGCUGACACGUCUAGAAAAGCAGAUGCCUCUUCGAUAUCUGGAAUCGGCGCUUCGACAAACUGCCUGUGAUUUCUGUAAAGCUGAGUGUGCAUGUGACAGGCGCUGACACGUCUAGAAAAGCAAGUGCCUUUUCGAUAUCUGGAAUCAGCGCUUCGACAAACUGCUUGUGAUUUCCACAAAGCUGAGUGUGCAUGUGACAGAUGUUGACACGUUGGAAAAGCAGAUGCCUUUCCGAUUUCUAAGCUUGCCUCUUCGAGUUCUGAGCUCGCCUCUUCAAGUUCUAAGCUCUGUCGAAUACAGAGGUUGCAUGUGACAAGUGCGGACAAAUCUGGAAAAGAAGAUUGGCCCAUGGUUUCUGAGCAAGCCCAGCUUUUGAGAAAGCUAGCGCCUCUUCGAUUUUUGAAUUGACCUUCGAUUUCUAAGCUCGCCUCUUCGAUCUCUGAAAUCCCGUCGAGUGCUGGUUUUUAUAGAGGCGCGCAAUACGUUUCAAAUCACACUUGAAUUUUUGCUUAUAGAAACUCCAUUCUUGCACUUCUACGAUCUUGACUUGUCCGACCUCUUCUUUCUUCAACACCUUUGAAAAUGUCCGGCCCUUCCGACCGUCGUUUUUACUUAAACCUUGGUGAAGAGGCAGCCAUGCUUUCUCCAAACAAUAUAUGGCGCCCAUCCUUCAUAUCCCCUACUGGUCCUCUUACCGUUGGGGAUUCGGUGAUGAAGAAUGAUAUGACUGCUGCGGUGAUGGCCCGGAACAUUGUCACUCCCAAAGAUAACAGAUUACUUUCCAAACGGUCUGAUGAGUUGGCUGUUAAUAUGGCCCAACGCCUAUUUGCUCGAACCCGUCAAGUUGAAUCGUUGGCGGCUGAAGUGAUGAGUCUCAAACAGGAGAUUAGAGGGCUCAAGCAUGAGAAUAAACAGUUGCACAAGCUCGCACAUAACUAUGCUACAAACAUGAAGAGGAAGAUUGACCAGAUGCAGAAAUCUGAUGGUCAGAUUUUACUUGAUCAUUAGAGGUUUGUGGGUUUGUUCCAACAGCAUUUGCCUUCGUCUUCUAGGGCUGUACCGCGUAAUAAAGCUCCAAAUGAUCAACCUCUGAUGCCUCCUCCUUCUGGGCUCCACCGACUGCUGAGGCUCUGCCGACUACUGAGACUUCUCCUAAGCAGCCUUUGUGAAGGCUUCCUCUUGUAUUUUUUGCUUAAUGUUCUUUUUUUUUCAUGAAAAUGAAUGUAAAAAUACCUUGCAUAACUGUCAAUGUCUAAAAAAUAAACCCACACCAAAAAAUAAUUAAAUAAGCAACAAAUAAAAAUGAUCAUCAUGGCAAAAUAAAAUGCAGAAAAGGGAAGGUUUUUAGAAACGCAAAACUGAUUGUGGAGCGAUUCAAAAAUCUUCCUCAUUUGAAUACAUGGGUUGCCUCCCAAGAAGCGCUUGUUUUAACGUCUUCCAGUCGGACAAAACUUCCUUCUAAACUUGGAUAGGGCCCAUAGCAUGGAAUUGAUCCUUGAAUGGAAGGUGAUACUUGACGUGAUCCGGCAAUGGUUUAAAUUCUAGUGUAGGUGCCUGAAUCAUCAAAAUCAGCAAGUUAGUAUAUAAUAAAAUCGAAGUUGGAGAAGAUGGCUUACUUGUUUGCUCCAACACAAACUCAAUUACGAACACCACAUCUUUGAAGGUUGUAGGGAUAUGGGACUUGGCCAGAUUUGGUGUUUUGAGAGUUAUGACUUUUCCCAUGUCAUAAAAUCCAACUUCUUUGGGAAUUUUCGUCUCAAGUGUAUCUUCUUUGAUGAAUUCUAGACAUUCCCCAUCCACUUCUUGCUCUUGAUUCUUUGGAAAGGUUUCGAAUAUGCCUUUCUCACACCUUCUUCUUCCUUGGAUUGCAUGAUCCUACAAGGAAUAAGGACAUUUGGUGAAACGGGGGUUAGGAAAAAUUUGAAUUUAGGCUUACCUUGGUUGUAGUGGAUGGCAUAAGAGGGCAUAUGGGGCUGCGGCAAGGGUGGUUCUUCCCUUGCCAUGGCCUUGUUAUUCUCCUCUUCUUCAAGCAGCAGUUGUUCAUCCAUGUUUUGGCUUGGUUUGGAUGUCUUGGGUUCACCUCCAACCUCCAUAGCACUUCCCAAAGUGAUAGCAUCAUGAAUUUCAAAAUCUUCCUUCAAAUUUUCAAUAGUUGAGUUAAAGAGUUCACUUUUCUCUUGAAUUUGUGCCAUGAACUCCAUAAUCUGCCCAAUUUGCAUAUACAAUUCACCCAUCUUCUUGGCUUGAUUUUGCAUCUCUUUGUUUCGAUUUUCUACUUCCUGGUUCAAAGAGGUGAGUAACUUAUUAAACAUAUCAUUAUCCAAAGAUGUACCUGAAUUGAAUUGGGCAGAUUGUUGUGGUGGCUAUGAUGGUUCAUAUGGCCAGUGAUAGAACUCAUCCGAUGGCAGCAAAUAUUCUUCUUGUUGUGAGCCCUGCGUCAAAGAGGUUAGUACUUCAAGAAUUUCAUCAGAACUCAUAGGCACACUUGAAUUUGAUUGGAAUUGUUGUGGAUGAGGUUGUAGUGGCUGCAUAGGUCUUGAAUAGAACUCCUCUUCUUACUGCCAAUAUCCAUCUUGUUGCAAUUGUUGAGGUUCUCCCCACAUGUAAUCUGAAUAAACUCUCCAAUCCGAAUUGUAAGCGUUGGAACAAAUGUUGUCCCAUGAUUGGCUAUGGCCUUGAUAACCCCAAGCAUCUUCAUUCACAAACGAAUUGAGAACAUUGAUGAGUUGGAUAUCCUUGCCCAUAGGACACACCAUAUGUAGGGACACUUUGCAUUAUGGUCCUUUCGGCAUAUUGUGACAAUUGAGAAGUAAGUUUCGCCAAUUGAGCUUGAAUGGUAGCAAAAUCCAUGUCUUACUUCUCUAGUACCUGAAAUCAAGGAAACAAAACUAAAUCAAAUAUCAAAAGUAAAACAAACCAAAAGAAAAAACACAAAUAGAAACAAAGUUAGUAACUAAAAACAAAAGACAUGAAAAUAUACAAAAAGAAAUAACAAGGGAUUAGCAAAGUUGCUAAUCACUGGCAACGACGCCAAAAAUUUGGUGCGAAAAUUAUCUUAACACACAAAUUAAACCCUCUUGUUGUCAAUUGUAAUAAAGAAUGUAAGUAGGGAUCGUUCUAGGCCGGGUAUUAGGAAGGAUUGCUAAAACACUUGAAACUGACUUUAAAAUGUAAAAUUAAGUUUAAAACACCAAACUAGACUCAAAGAUGCAAUACAAACUAAAAAGACUCAAAACUAGUUUAAAAUACUCAAAACUGCUUAAAACAAUGAAUUAGACUCUAAACUGACUCUAGGGAUGGUUUUGGAUGAAAUUAGGUUCUAACUUGACUCAAGACACUUAAAAACACAAAUCAAAACAGAUUUUGACUAAUAAAACACUUUAAGAUGAAUUUGAAAACAAAACAAACAGAUUGUAAACUAAAACAGAUUUUGGACGAAUUUGGGUAAACUAUGGAUGAUGGGCUACCUAGAGGGUUCUUCUCCACACAUGACAUACUUGCACAUAAACCAAUUUUCAGUUGUUCUUUCGAUCAAUCAUGAAACUCAACACCCCAGGUUAAUUAAGUCCGCUUAAAUUAACCUUCAAGUUCUCCUUAAGUUAUUGAAUUGGAUGGGAAAGCGCAUACAACAAUUCAAGCAUUCUUCAAAAGUCCUUUACGUGAACAGCACAAUAAAGAUACAAUCAAAGAUCAUUAAGCAUUAUGAAAACUAUAAAUAUUGACGAGGCAUUUGUUACUAUGAUGAGCAUGAAACUCCUGCCAAGAAUUCAUUUAACGCGAUCGUUUAUAAGUGACCUCCACUACUUGUGAAUAUAAGUUUGUAACUAUUAGGUGAAACUCCCUUAUACUCUAGCAUCAUAUUCAUGCAUGCAAGCUAAGUGUGCACUCUUAAUAAAUAUACACGAAUAAAUUAUCAAUCAAGUAGUUAAACAAAUUGAAUUCACAACUUAGGAAAUCACAACUGAAGGUAAUCAAAUCAUAUUGCAAGCAUGAACAUGGUUUCGAAUUCCCCUCUAGGUAAGGGGGGUUUAGUUCCUCAUACUCACAAAACAAAGAUAAACAAAUUUAGACAUUGAAAACAAAAGAAUGAAAACACCUAAAAAUGCUCCAACAAUCCAACUUGAAUGGCAAGCACGUCCAAGGGUCCUCAUUCUUCUCUUUGUUGUGGCACAAGGUGUGGUUUGAUGGAUGCGUAUGGAUAUAUGGAAGGGAAUGGCUGAAUAUGUUAAGAAGAAAAAACUCUGCCUUGCAGCAGAAUGUGUCUUCCUCCUUUCUCCCUAAACUGUCCGUGUGAAUGUGUCUUUGGAUGGAUCUCUCCUCUCCUUUGUUAUGGUGAAGGGUGGAUGUAUUUAUAGGCUAGGGAGAGGACCACCAUCUAAUUAAGGUGGUAGUGGUGUAUGUUGUGGUAAUGAGUGGAUGUAAUGGGUGUAGUGGGUGAAUGUUUAGUAAUGAGUGGAUGUAAUGGGUGUAGUGGGUGAGUGUUUGGUAAUGAGUGGAUGUAAUGGGUGUAGUGGAUGGAUGUUUGGUAAUGAGUGAAUGUAAUGGGUGUAGUGGUGAGUGUUGUGGUAAUGAGUGGAUGUAAUGGGUGUAGUGGGUGAGUGCUUGGUAAUGAGUGGAUGUGGGUGAGUGUUUGGUAAUGAGUGGAUGUAAUAGGUGUAGUGGAUGGAUGUUUGGUAAUGAGUGGAUGUAAUGGGUGUAGUGGGUGAGUGUUUGGUAAUGAGUGGAUGUAAUGGGUGUAAUGGAUGGAUGUUUGGUAAUGAGUGGAUGUAGUGGGUGUAGUGGAUGGAUGAUUGGUAAUGAGUGGAUGUAAUGGGUGUAGUGGAUGGAUGUUUGUAGUUGUAGGUCAACACACUUGCACACACACAUUCUGAUUUCUAGCCUUCAAAUCUUCAAAAACAUCCAUCCUUAUGUCUCCAUGCUUGCACUAUCCAAUCUUAGCCCAAAAAUGCUCCAAAAUGCUCCAAAUAGCACUUUGUUGCUAACUUUGUUAUUUGAACCUACAAACACACGAAAAUAGCUUAAAGUACUAAAAUAACUAGAAUUAAACUAAGUAAAUGCCAAGAAACAAGCUAACUAAGUUGCAUAAAUAUGCUCCUAUCACAUUCCAAUUGAUAGCCAUGUCAAAUAAUCUCAAUUUGUCAGGCCUUUUGGACAAGUUCACAAAAAAUAGAUUUACUAAAAUAAUAUCCUACUUUUUUAGCUUAUAACAAAUAAUGUUGAUCUAUUAAGUUAAUUUAGGAUGAGAAAAAGAAGAAAACAAGAAUUGAAUCCAAGCAUUACCAUUAUUGAAAUCAUGAAGAAAAUAGAAGCUACUGCAACGAAUGCUAGUCUUUGUUGGAAGUAUGCCCACAAAGCCACUCAUUUGAUGUAAUAGCUUUUGGAAUACUUAUUGUAUUAAACUUUUAUAUGUUUAAUGAAGGGCAAAGCUUAUUGUUAAUCACUAUUUAUUGUAUCAUAUGUUUAAGCAAUAAGGGAAUCCAAGGAAUGUAUUUGAUCUAAGAGAUAAGUGAUUUAAGUGAGUUAGAUUAACGAGACCUUUCUCUUAUGUUCAUUCCUAAAACGUUCCUAGCCAUAGGAUUGCCAAUUGGGCAUUGACAAUCCGCUAAGGUUAGUAUGUGUUAUGUUGACUCAAGCGUGAGUAUGACUAGUCUCAAGUCAUUUGGUGUUGGACACUAAGACAAACACAUAGGUGCUCGAAAAGAGUAAUCGAGUACACUGAACAACGAUCAAAAGAGAGUUCGAACAUACAUGUCAUGUAAGAACUCUAAAGUUGCAAUAUGCAAAGUAGUCCUUUGACCUGAGGCAUCAUAGAUGUCUAAUGGUUAGGUCCUUGAUCUUUGAUCAUGUCAAACGGCAUUCCAUUGGAGUGUCCACGGCAUUGUUGGGGUCAAGCUAUCUAGUCAUGUAGGCAUAUGAAUGCACAACAAGGGAUCUCUAACCUUCCAUGGUGGAAGGAGAAUACUCUAAGAUAUGAUUCUAAAGUCUUUGGCCAAAGCAUAUGAAUAUGACUUAGGAAGUUUGUUCCAAAUCAUAUUCAAGGGAAUCAUAUAGAGAAGUAUCACAUUGGAUAGUAGACAUGAAACAAACUAUCACUUCAAACAAUGUGAUUAAGAGUAUUGUAUUAGAGAAGGACCGUAUUGCAUUGUAGUUGUAACUGGAUAGGUUCUCCAACCAAUUCUACUUAGCUUGGGUAACCAUGAUAUGCUGCUAGGUGUCACUCAUGGUUUGUGGAAGCCCUGAAGAUUAGCAAACACUAAUCAAAGGGAGAAUUGAAAUGUGGUUUCAAUUCACAAUCGAUCGUUAAGAGUAACAAUCGCCCACUGCCUCGCUAAUUGGAACCUAAUGGAUCGUACACCGAGUAAGGAUGAUAGUGAAGAAAAUUAAAUGAAAUGGAUAAGCAAUUAAAUGGUUUAAUUGAAGAAUGGUCAAGAUUAAUUAAUUAGUUAAUUAAUUUUACGAAAGGUUCGUAUUGGGCUUAUAAGUUGGUUUUGGGUUUCGGGGCCCAAAAGCGUUUUGGUCCACAAGGCCCAUUAUGUUUAAGUUGUAUGACAACUAAAACAAAAUGGGCAAAUUAGCCCAAUAACAAAGGUAAGGCCGGCCAUUAGGGUGAUGGGCAAACUUGGAUUAAUUACAAGUUUGCCACUCACUUGAAAUGAAGUAUAAAAUCAACUUUAUAGCUUUAUUUCUCAUUAGGGUUUUUCUUGGUGAAAUUGAGGUGAAACAUUUUCUCUCAUUUUCUCUAAAGAGGCCGGCCACUUAGAGGGGAAUUAGCUAGCAAUCUUUUCUCUUCUCUAAGUCAUCCAUUUCAUCUUCACAAUAUACAUCCUUGGUGUGGAGACUUAGAGACAUCAAGCUUUUGGUGUUUUUGGAGAACAAAUCCUUCAAAUCCUCAAAAUCAAAGGAGCACUAAAAGGAGGAAAAUCACAAGGAAGGAUUCCAAGGAGCUUGGAGGUGACUUGAAGGCCCUCCACUUGGGUGAAUCCCUUGUGUAAACAAGGAUGAGCUUCAAGGGUAAAGAAACUCUAAAUCUUUACUUCUCUUUAAUGUUGUUAAAGAGUUUUUUUGGUUCACCAUAUACUAGGCUUUGAAAGUCAUGGGUUUUUAUGAAUUGUUUUUUGGAAUGCAUGCCUACUUUAAAGUGUUAAUAGUUUGCAUAUGUAUUCAAAUGUUCUUACUUGUUCUUAGCUAGGACAAAAUUUUUCCUUCAAGUGGUAUCAGAGCCUAGGCCUAGUUUAUGGUGAAUCCUUUUGGGUUUUGUGAUUUUCAUGAUUUGUGAUUUAAAUGUUGUAAAUGUUACAAGCUUUGUUCUUGCUUUUGAAUAUAUAAAUUUUGCUAGAAAAUUUAGCAUCUCAAAUGUUGUAGAUGUAUUUCAUUUAAGCAUGAAUAUUGGAACUAAAAUUUGGUGCCAUGUAUUUUGGGAAAUUCGGCCAAAUCCUUAGGGUGAUUUUUUGGGUUCAUGUUUGUCUUGUUAAAAUGGUUUUAAGGUGACUUUUGGAACCCCUAAGUACCCUAGGAUAUUAGCCCUCUUUUGAGUGGUGAAAAAUUUGAGUUUUUGGUGAAGUGAAAACAUUCAUGGAGCUAUUAUGAGUUUUCAUGGUGUUCUUCAAUGUUCUUGAAGUUCUUGCCAAGAACAAAAAAGGUUUGAAGUUUUGAUUCAAAAGUUUUAUGUUUUUCAUAAAGUUUUGGUUUAAUUUUGAUGGGUGAUGGUUAUUGGUGAAGCAUUAAUUAAUGGCUUUAAUGUUUGACAAAUACUCUUUAAUGUUUUACAAAACAUUUUCUUACAAACCAUCAAUUUCACCUUUUACCUCACCAAUAAAAUCAACUUGCAUAAAACCCUUUCACACUCCUUUCACACUCUAAAACCGGCCACCCCCUAGUGGGGGUACUUUUGGGGCCUUUUAUGCAAUUACAUAAAGUUUUGAUACUUUUGUGUAUUUGCACUUUGGCCCAAAAGUUUACGUUUUUACGUUAAGGCCCAAAAACUCUAAAGGACGAAUUGUUUUGAUCCUUUAAUGAUGUUUUUACAUUAUUAAAAUUUUGGGUUCUAGUUGAAAUUACAUGAAGUUGUGGACUUUUGUGUUUUUUUUUCAAAGUGACCCCAAAAGUUUUUUGUAUUUGCAUUAUGGCCCAAUUGUUGUGGUCAUAGUUUCCUUUUGGCCCAAAUAAAAUGAGAACAAAAUUGUUUUGUCUCUUUAAUGAGAAUUGGAUUUUCAUUUCAUUUAGUUCCAUUUAAAUCAAUUCUAUGGAUCCAAAAACCAAUUGUUUAAGUUGCUUUCUUAGUUAAUGUGAUUAAUUAAGAAAAGGGUGAUUAUGAACCAAAGGCCUCGAUAAUUGAGCUAUGUGAUUGGCCGCUUUACAUUAUGAAUGUUUGGGUUUGGUAGUGUAGAUUUGAAUGUAAUUUGAUUAAUUCAAUUUGUUGUAAAUGGACAUAAGUCCAUCAUUUGUGUUGUAAAAGGGCAUAAGCCCUUCUUAUUAUUUCAUGUAUUCCUUUUUGUUUAUAUGUAUGCAAAAUGGAAUAGUUGGGUCCAACGCCCAAUAGGAAAUAACGGUUUAAUUGGAUUAAACGCGUAACUAAAAUCAACAACUAUCUACCUUAAACCCAAGGUCCAACACAAGGCUCGUGUUGGAUCAAAUCAAACGGUUCAUAAUCAUCCUAAAACCUAAUAUGACUAUAUAGUCCAUAUGAGGAUGCAAUGCAUUCGUUAGUAGUUCCAUAUAGUCUCGCUUGUUUCAACGAAACAGUGGGAGUAUUAUAUGCUACUAAUUCAUAUUAACUUGGACCAAUGGUUGUGAUAGGCCCAAGUUCUUUUAAUAAUGAUUAAAAUGAUUUUGAUGUAGCCCAAAACUACUCCCUCGACAAAACGAAUAUUAAGUUGAUAAGCGAGAGAUGUUUUGAACAUCUCUUCGUAGGCCUUCCACCGUGGUGGGCUCCAAUCGUUUGUGACUCAUGCACCGGCUUCACCCUAUCAUGGGGGAGUUCAAAGUAUGUGCUUACAUCCAGGAGGAGUCCAUAAACAUAUGAUGAGGUGAGUGUAGGCAACGAGGAUAGCCGACAUCGUAUCAUCGUGAGGCUAUUCUUGAACCCCUUCACAAACUAAGCAUGGUGGGAAUAACUUAAACUAAGUGCAAUGGAGCCGACAUCGUAUCAUCGUGAGGCAACAUUCUCUAGAGGCCAAACGGAUGGGUAAUUACAAAAGGUUGUAAAUGAAUAAUGCGUUAUUCUCUCAUCAUUAUUUUUGCUAACCAACAUCGUAUCAUCGUGAGGUGGGCUUGGUAAUGGUGAGUCUCCCAUACCCCGCUAAGAGUUCAAUAUAACUCUCGAAUUCUAUUGAGGGAUGUGGAAUUUGCCAAAAAUAGUGGGUGGUACUAUUUGAUUCAAAGACCCAAUCAAAUAGUUUUAAACAAACAAUCUAAUACGAUUUCUGUUAUGUUAUGUAGUUAACGACAUGCCUAAAAUUAUACCCACCAUUAUACUUGACAAAAAGGGCCUUAAGGGCCAACGUUUCCUUGCUUGGUAUCGCCACAUUGAGAAUGUCUCAAAGGUGAAAGACAUAUUGUAUGUGCUUAAGCAAUCCCCUCCUCAUGUACCUCCUACGAAACUAGCUUCAAAGGAGGAGUGUCAAAAAUAUGUUAGACACUAUGAGGAUGACUUACAAGCCAAAUGCUUAAUCCUCACUUCACUUAGUGAGGAGCUUAUGAAGCUACAUAAGCACAUGGACACUUCUUGUGCCAUGGUUGAAAGUUUGCAUAAGAUGCAUGACAUUGAGACUAGUAAUGUACGAUUCUCAAAUGUUUGUAGUCUAAUGAAUGCCAAAAUGGCAAAGGGGACAUCGGUCCAUAAACAUGGACAAAAGAUGGAAAAGAUAUUUUAAAGAUCUUAAAAGUUUAGGAACUUCCAUCGAUGGGAAAAUGGCCCAAGACUUUUUUCCUUGCAUCUCUCUCGGAUGAUUUCACUAAGUUUAUUGUAAACUAUAAAGUGAAUAGAUUCGAUCAUGCUUUGAAACGAGAUGAUUGACAUGUGCUGUAAAUUUGAAAAAGGUUUCAAAAGGGACAGUGGGAGUGAGAAUGCAAUCACAAGGAAAAGGUUGCAUAAGAAGAAGGCAAAGAAAUCCAAAGGAACAUGCUUUCAUUGUGGAAAGGAUGAACGUUGGAAGAAGAAAUACAGGGUGCGCAUUGCGAGCCUUAUGACACGAACUUUUGAAGAGACUAUUUCUGUCAUAGAGAGUGCUUUUACAGUGAGCUCCAAUUCCUGGAUAUUUGAUUCAGGCGCUAGUCAACAUAUCUGUAAUACGAUGCAGGGACUAGCGGGGAGCAAGUCACUGCGCAAUGGGGAGAUGGUUGUGCGAGUUGGGAACGGCACUAAAAUCUCUGCAAAAGCAAUAGGCACCUACAUGCUUAACCUACCCUCUGGGGAAGUCCUGGAACUUAAAAAUUGUUUAUAUUUUCCUUCAUGUAUAAAGAAUUUGAUUUCCAUCUCUAAGCUUUUACGAGAUGGGCACUCAGUAUUGUUUGACAAAAUGAGUUGCACUUUAUACUUGAACGGUCGUAUUAUCUCUCAUGGUAAUAUGAUAGAGGGACUUUUUCACCUAGAGACGAAUAGUGGGAUGCACUGUAUUGCAAGCGGGAAUACCUCAAAACCCAAAAGGGCUAGAGAAGAAGUUAACCAAGAAAAGAUGUGGCAUCUUAAACUUGGACAUGUGAACCUUGAUAAGAUUCACAAGAUGUCGAAAGACGGAUAUAUCCGCCCAUUAGGUAAUGACCAGAUGGGUACUUGUGAAUGUUGCUUGAAAGGGAAGAUGACCAAAUCUCCAUUUACUGGAAAAGGAGAGCGUGCCACUGAAAUUCUAGGGUUAAUCCACACUGACGUAUGUGGACCUAUGUCUACUAUGUCGAGAGGAGGCUUCUCCUACUAUAUAUCACAUUCACCGACGACGAUCACUCUCGGUUUGGCUAUGUGUAUCUUAUGAAGUACAAGUCAGAAUCCUUUGAAAGGUUCAAAGGAAUUCAAGAAUGAAGUUGAGAAGCAAACUGGGAAACAAAUAAAGAUCCUAAGAUUGGAUCGAGGGGGUGAAUAUCUGAGUAAUGAGUUCCUAGAUUAUCUCAAAGAGUGUGGAAUAAUAUCACAGUGGACUCCACCAGGAACUCCACAACUUAAUGGAGUUUCUGAAAGGAGAAAUCGAACCUUGAUGAACAUGGUUCGUUCUAUGAUGAGUUCCGCUGAUCUACCAGUAACAUUCUGGGGAUACGCUCUAUAUAUACAGCAGCUUACUUGCUUAAUAGAGUACCUUCCAAGUCAGUUUCACAAACGCCCUAUGAGAUAUGGCAUGGAAGAAAGCCAAGUCUUAAUCAUGUUAAGAUUUGGGGUUGUGAAGCAUAUGUCAAGAAGAAGCUUGAAGCUACUAAGCUUGAAGCGAGAUCAGUAAGAUGCUAUUUUGUGGGAUAUCCUAGAGAAACUAUGGGAUAUGAGUUCUACCAUCCUGACGACCAGAAAGUCUUUGUCGCCAGAACUGCUAAGUUUCUAGAGAACGAAUUUGUUCUCAAAGGAACUAUAAGCAAAGAGAUGGAAAUUAAUGAGAUUAAUAAUGAACCACAAACAAGCACUCGACAAGUUGACAACCCUGUUCCUGAACCCCUAGCUCCACGUAGAUCUGAACGGGUUAGUAAGCCACCUAAGAGGUAUGGCUUAGACAAUGACUUUGCGGAAUUGCACCUUCUAGGUGACAAUGACACGAAGGAGGACCCUAGGGACUACACUGAAGCAAUGUCCGACAUUGAUUCAAAGAGAUGGCAAGAGGCCAUGAAAUCCGAGAUGGAUUCCAUGUAUCAAAAUCAGGUCUGGACUCUUGUAGACCCUCCAGAAGGUAUUGUACCUGUUGGAAACAAAUGGGUCUUCAAGAGGAAGAUAGGCGUUGAUGGGAACGUGGAGACUUAUAAGGCUAGACUCGUAACCAAGGGUUACAGGCAAAGAGAAGGGAUUGACUAUGAAGAAACCUUUUCUCCUGUAGCCAUGAUUAAGUCCAUUCGGAUUUUGCUUGCUAUAGCUGCGUACCAUGAUUAUGAGAUAUGGCAAAUGGACGUGAAGACGGCCUUUCUGAACGGCUACCUAGAGGAAGAGCUCUAUAUGACUCAACCCGAAGGUUUCGUGUCCAAAUCUGAAAAGACUAAGGUAUGCAAGCUUCAAAGGUCCAUUUAUGGACUUAAGCAAGCCUCCAGGAGCUGGAACAUUCGUUUCGACACUGAAAUCAAAACGUUUGGUUUUACUCAAAACGAAGACGACAAUUGUGUUUAUGAAAAGGUCGUUGGGGAUGCAGUUGUAUUCCUAGUGUUAUAUGUAGAUGACAUAUUACUAUUCGGGAAUGACACUGCAGUACUUUCUUCUGUAAAAGUGUGGUUGUCCAAAACCUUCCACAUGAAAGAUUUAGGAGAUGCAUCUUAUGUACUUGGGAUAAAGCUCUAUCGUGAUAGAUCCAGAAGACUAAUUGGAUUAUCCCAAUCUAUGUACAUUGAUAAGGUGCUAAGUAGGUUCCAGAUGGAACAAUCUAAGAAAGGUUUUCUUCCUGUUAGACAUGGAAUUCACCUUUCUAAGUCCAUGGGACCUAAGACUCCUGAAGAGAUACGGCAAAUGAAUACUAUUCCUUAUGCUUCCGCCAUAGGAAGUCUCAUGUAUGCCAUGAUAUGCACAAGGCCUGAUAUCGCAUAUGCUGUGAGCAUUACUAGUCGAUAUCAAUCUAACCCAGGAUCAGAACACUGGGCAGCUGUCAAGACGGUCCUUAAGUACUUAAGAAGAACUAAGGACAUGUUCCUCGUUUAUGGAGGAGCGACAGAGUUGCGAGUGGAAGCCUAUAUAGACGCAGAUUUCCAAUCUGACGUCGAUGAUAGAAGUUCCAACUCCGGAUAUGUAUUCACUCUGAAUAGUGGGGCUGUUAGCUGGAAAAGCAAGAAACAAGGUGUAAUUGCUGAUUCCACGACGGAGGCAGAAUAUGUCGCUGCAGCUGAAGCCGGCAAAGCAGCGUUCUGGAUGAAGAAGUUCAUCACUGAACUUGGAGUGGUUCCAACCAUUACAUCACCAGUAACUUUGUAUUGUGAUAAUAGUGUGGCGAUAGCUCAAGUAAGGCACCCAGGGCUCAUCAAAAGAACAAGCAUUUUGACAGGCGCUUUAAUAUCAUUAGAAGAUAUGUUGCCGAGGGGAAAGUCAACAUCCUCAAAGUUGCCUCAACCGAUAACGUAGCAGAUCCACUGACGAAUCCAAUGUGUCAAAUCCAACUUGACCGCCAUAUGGAAAAGAUGGGUAUUAGAUACAUGGGAGGAUGGCUUUGAGUGCAAGUGGGAGAUUGUUGGAAGUAUGCCCACAAAGCCACUCAUUUGAUGUAAUAGCUUUUGGAAUACUUCUUGUAUUAAACUUUUAUAUGUUUAAUGAAGGGCAAAGCUUAUUGUUAAUCACUAUUUAUUGUAUCAUGUGUUUAAGCAAUAAGGGAAUCCAAGGAAUCUAUUUGAUCUAAGAGAUAAGUGAUUUAAGUGAGUUAGAUUAACGAGACCUUUCUCUUAUGUUCAUUCCUAAAACGUUCCUAGCCAUAGGAUUGCCAAUUGGCAUUGACAAUCCGCUAAGGUUAGUAUGUGUUAUGUUGACUCAAGCGCGAGUAUGACAAGUCUCAAGUCAUUUAGUGUUGGACACUAAGACAAACACAUAGGUGCUCGAAAGAGUAAUCGAGUACACUGAACAACGAUCAAAAGAGAGUUCAAACAUACAUGUCAUGUAAGAACUCAAUAGUUGCAAUAUGCAAAGUAGUCCUUUGACCUAAGGCAUCAUAGAUGUCUAAUGGUUAGGUCCUUGAUCUUUGAUCAUGUUAAAUGGCAUUCCAUUGGAGUGUCCACGGCAUUGUUGGGAUCAAGCUAUCUAGUCAUGUAGGCAUAUGAAUGCACAACAAGGGAUCUCUAACCUUCCAUGGUGGAAGGAGAAUACUCUAAGAUAUGAUUCGGGAGUCUUUGGCCAAAGCAUAUGAAUAUGACUUAGGAAAUUUGUUCCAAAUCAUAUUCAAUCGAAUCAUAUAGAGAAGUAUCACAUUGGAUAGUAGACAUGAAACAAACUAUCACUCAAACAAUGUGAUUAAGAGUAUUGUAUUAGAGAAUGACCGUAUUGCAUUGUAGUUGUAACUGGAUAGGUUCUCCAACCACUUAUACUUAGCUUGGGUAACCAUGAUAUGCUGCUAGGUGUCACUCAUGGUUUGUGGAAGCCUUGAAGAUUAGCCAACACUAAUCAAAGGGAGAAUUGAAAUGUUGUUUUAAUUCACAAUCGAUCGUUAAGAGUAACAAUCGCCCACUGCCUCGCUAAUUGGAACCUAAUGGAUCGUACACCGAGUAAGGGUGAAAGUGAAGAAAUAUAAAUGAGCUGGAUAAGCAAUUAAAUGGUUUAAUUGAGAAUGGUCAAGAUUAAUUAAUUAGUUAAUUAAUUUUACGAAAGGUUCGUAUUGGGCUUUUAAGUUGGUUUUGGGCUUCGGGGCUCAAAAGCGUUUUGGUCCACAAGGCCCAUUAUGUUUAAGUUGUAUGACAACUAAAACAAAAUGGGCAAUUAGCCCAAUAACAAAGGUAAGGCCGGCCAUAAGGGUGAGGGUAGCAAACUUGGAUUAAUUACAAGUUUGCCACUCACUUGAAAUGAAGUAUAAAAUCAACUUUAUAGCUUUAUUUCUCAUUAGGGUUUUUCUUGGUGAAAUGAGGUGAAACACUUUCUCUCAUUUUCUCUAAAGAGGCCGGCCACUUAGAGGGGAAUUAGCUACCAAUCUUUUCUUCUCUAAGUCAUCCAUUUCAUCUUCACACUUCAUCCUUGGUGUGGAGACUUAGAGACAUCAAGCUUUUGAUGUUUUUGGAGAACUAAUCCUCAAAUCCUCAAAGAAGCAAAGGAGCACUAAAAGGAGGAAAAUCACAAGGAAUAUCCAAGGAGUAAGGAGGUGACUUGAAGGCCUUCCACUUGGGUGAAUCCCUUGUGUAAACAAGGAUGAGCUUCAAGGGUAAAGAAACUCUAAAUCUUUCCUUCUCUUUAAUGUUGUUAAAGAGUUUAUUGGUUCACCAUAUACUAGGCUUUGAAAGUCAUGGGUUUUAUGAAUUGUUUUUGAAUGCAUGCCUACUUUAAAGUGUUAAUAGUUUGCAUAUGUAUUCAAAUGUUCUUACAUGUUCUUAGCUAGGACAAAUAUUUUCCUUCAGUCUUUCAGUAGCAAGAACAAACAACUUCAAAGUACAAGAAACUUACAUUCUGUUCGGGCAGGAAUUCUGGGUUUGGUCCCUCGCACAGCUCCUCUAGGGAAUGGCACGUUGUUGGUUAUCUGGCAGGUCUUGUUGUUGGGUAUGCUGCAAGAUAAGUUUACAGUUAGUUAGCUUGAAAGGUGCCUUUGGAGUAGACCUUGAGGCUCAUAAUCAAAGCUAAAAUGGAUCUAAGCAUGCCAUUGUUAUCUUUGUAUAACAGAUUGUUGAAUAGAAGUGGAUUAAAUUGUUUACUUGUGCCACAAGUUACUUAGACUUCUUGCUUAUCAAAGGAUUGUCACAGAUUGGUUAAUUCUGCAUUAAGUUCUUUUCUUGCCUUGUAAACAAAGACUUUUAAUUCAUAAUCCUAUAUGUCCAAUAUGAAGGGGGUUCGAGGCCCUUCCAACUGUCUUAUCGAUCAAGGUUUACUUUAAUGGAAACAGGCUUAAUAAAUUAACGAGAUUUAAAUAUAAAGGGAACUCUUAAGUAGAAAACAGUUGAAAGUGACUUAAAUACAUGAAGGAAAGUACAUUAAACGACAGAUCUACUAAAUGUAAAUACAAAGAAGAGAGACUCAGGCAAGAUUUAACUUUGUUGAGCAAGGUUGAACUUUUUGCAACCACUUCUCUUUGUGCUUAAAGAGGUUUGUAUGCUAAAAAGGAUGAAGAGUAAAUAAGUUUUACUAGAGGAAUCGAUACUACAACACUAAAGGAAUGUAGCAAAGCUUUUACACUAGACAAAAGAUGGCUUUUCCUAAGGGAACUAUAGCUAGAAGGGAUUGAAUCUGGACAAGGUUCAGUUUUCUGGGUACGAAUUGGCUUGAGAACGGAGUUUGUAUGUCUUUUGAUUGGUUGGUUGAGUGUCCAUGUCUCUAGUGUCCCUUUCUCCUUUUUAGACAAUUUGGCCUGACUAUCUUGGCUUUGCUUAUGGUUGAUGGCUUUCGGAGGGCAAUGAGUGAUCGGAUCAUAUUUAUAUAUUUUUACUUCGAAUUCACUCGUCUUUUCUUAGUUAGUUCCUUAUAUUUUUGAGCUAUUUACGUUAUUUUUGUGAAACAUCAUCAUAUUUAUGUUUUGUAGAAAGAAUAAAGAAAAGAAAUGAAAAAAAAUAAAAAUAAAGAAAGCUAAAGAAAAGGGAAUCCAAGAGAGGACUGACGUGGGAGAGAAGUGAGUCCACACGGGAGGGUGAAAAGAAUAAAAGAAAGAAGGAGCUGGACACGUGAAGGAGUUAGAGCAAAAAAAGAACGGUGAAAGAAUCCAAGGGCAGCUGAAAAAAAAAGGGAAUAAAAUAAUGGAAAGCAAAAGCAUACGGGGGAGAAAUAAUCAGGAAAGGAGGGAUCCAAAGAAAGAUAUACGAAAGAAGAAGAAAAAGGAGAAUCCAAGGCGUGAAAGGGAUAGAGGCGGGAGACAGAGAAGACUUGGAAAGGGGGGAAAUAAAAUAAUAAGAUAGGAGGAGAAAGCUGCCUGGGAGCAGCGGGGUGGAGAGAGGGGCUGCCCUUUGGGCAGCUCGCAGAGACGCAGGAACGAAGAGACGUGAGGAAGGCUGACGGGGCAAGUGAGGCUCGGGAGGUCAGGAAGAAGGAGAGGACGUGCAGGAGAGAGGAAAGACACGGGCAGGGCAGUACAGUGCAGGGAGACCAGCAGACGCAUGUGAGGAGGGACUGACAGAGCACGUACUGACGACGCAGUGAAGCUGCACAGCAACAGAUCACCUUCUUUCGGUUUAAUCUUUCCAAACUUCUAUUUUAUUUCUGUUUUAUAAUGUGUAAUUAAAUUUAUGUUGGCUAGAGGUUAAUUCAAAGCCAUGAUUUAUAUUUGUAAUAUGAAUUGAUUACCUUCGGUUGUGAUUUCAUAAGUUGUGAUUUCAAUUUACUUAUCCGUUCGUAUAAAAACUGAUUUGUGUAUGUUGGUUGAGAGUGCAAGCUUAAUUUACAUGCAUGAAUUUGAUGCUAGAAUAUAAGUGAAUUUCACCUAAUCGUUAUGAACUUAUUUUCACAAGUAGUAAAGGUUGCUAGUCACAAUCACGUUAAGUAAAUUCUUGGCAAGAGUAUCAUGCUUUUCAUAGUUACGAAUGCCUCGUCAAUGCUUAUAGUUUUCACAAAGUUUAAUGAUCUUUGAUUGUAUCUCUAUUGUGCUUUUCACGUAGGGGACUUUUGAAGAAUGUUUUGAAUUGUUGUAUGCGUUUUCCCGUCCAAUUCAAUAACUUAAGGAAAACUUGAAGAUUAAAAAAGUGCUAUUCACGGUUAAUCUGAAGUGUUGAAAUUCACAACUUAUUGAAAGAACAACUGAAAAUCAAUUUAGGUUGCAUAUGUGUCAUGUGUGGAGAAAAACCCUCUAGCUAGUCCGUCAUUUAUCCUUUCACCUUAAUUUCAUGUUUUUGUCAAUUCUGUAAUUUAUUUAAGUUUAAUUUACUUCUAGUCAAAACCAAACACCCUUCCAUUAUUAAAUUAUAUUAUUUAGUUAGUUUUCAUUAUUGUUAGUCUUUCAAUUCGAUUUCUGUCCAUUUCAGUCCUAGUGUUUAAUUUGAUUAUUUUCAUUAUUUUGAGUCAUCCUAAGUGUGUUUCGAGUUAUUAGAGUUUUUAGCCUAGUUUUGUGUCCUUGAGUCUUGUUUAAUAUUUUUAAAUUAAUUUAGAAUAGAUUAGCAAUCCCUCCUAAUCCCCGGCCUAGAACGAUACCCUACUUACAUCUAUACUACAGUUGUCAAAAAGAGGGUUUAAUUUUGUGUGUUAACUUAUUUUUCACAUCAAUGAGUCAUCACCUAUUUACUUGUCAUGUCCUUGAAAAGUACUUUUUCGCUGGUAGUGAGUUGGUCUCUGUCAUCCAUCACUUCAAUCAUAGGCACAUGGCCUAUACCUUGGCUAAAAUGGCUUCAAUUUGCUUCAGGCCUAUCAACUGGGCUUCGAGCAAGUCCUCAUUUGCUUUGGCGCCUUUGGGCCUUCAUUACCAUAAAGCCCAAUGUUAAAUAUUAACCCAAACACAUUUGAUCUUGUUUCUUUAUCCACUUAUUCUCUCCUGCCAACUAGGGGUGGGCACUUCGAGACCAAAAACUGAAACUAAACCGUAAUGAAGGAAACUGAUUUGGGGAAACUGAUUUGGUUUUGGUUUUGGCAUUUUGGAAUUGAACCGAAAUCGAACCGCACUUCAAAAAUUUAAAAAUAUUUAAUCAAAUGCCCAUAUCAGGUGCUAUGUUCUAUUUGGUUGUUUGUUGGACUUCAUACAUUUAGUAUGAACUCAAUCAUGUCAAAAGUUCAUCUCUGUUAGUCUUCGACUAUUAGUCAGUCGGCCUCUCUCUCUCUCUCAACUCUCAUCUCUCAUCUCAAGUCUAAAGUCAAGUUCACAUGCAUAAUAUUUCAUUCCUUGAUAUUGUACUUGCAUGCUUAGAUGCUCAAAAUGCUAUCAUUAAAAUUACUGCUUAAUAAACAGUUAACGAUUUAGCAGUAAGAAAGAUAGGUUUUUUUUUUUUAUUUGCACGGUUCAGAAUUUACAUUUAUUAUUUCUUAUGCAGAGUUCUUUUCUAUAAGUGUAAUUUGCUAUAACAUCUGAUGUAAUUGAAUUGUAUAAUUCAGAAUAAUUAUGCAGUAGAUGGUUUUUGUAUUCAUACAGUAGGCAAUCAAAUUGUUUGGAGUAGCACCACGAAUAGUAGGUAAUCAAAUGGUUUUUUGUAUUAACAUUCCUACAUCAUUAGACACUGCUUAUGUUUGAGUUGAUGGACUAAAUUAGUACUAUUAACAUUUCAUAGAACUGCAAAUCUGCGACUGCAGUUCAAUGUUUUUGAAGUUAUUCUUUCAUAGUAUUUGCAAAUGAUUUGAACAGAACCAAAAUUGUUUGAAACCGAACCGAAUCAAACUAAAUGGUUUGGUUUCAUUUCGGUUUGAGCUUCAAAACCGCAACGCACCAAACCGCAAAAAAUUUCAGUUUCGCUUUCACUCAAAACCACACCCAACCGAAUUGUGCCCAUCCCUACUAGCUAUUGCCAACUAAUGAUGAUUUUUUUUUUCACCUGAUGAACAUGCAUGCAAAACAAAAUAUGACUAUAGUUGUAGAAACGGGCCCUACUAAGAAAAACAGGUUCGCGAUGAAGACAGAUAAGUCGAGCGAAAACCAAAUUUGUCACCUGACAUUUUGCACAACGAGAUCGGCGUUGCGCAAAGAUCGGAUCCUUGGCACUUCAGAUGUCAACGAUUCGACUUUUUAUGUUCUCUGUCUGGAGGAGGAGGCAGACAAAAGGUAGGCAUUCCCAGGCCCCCGGUGAACAUUCCCUGGCCUACGACCAAGGGUCUAAUCGAGGGUGUCCAUCAUGAUCUGAAAACUCGGAUCCUCAGUAGGAACCACCUCUUCGAUCGAGGUUUCUGGGCGAAGCUAGAAAGCCACCUCCUGUAGAACCGUCUGGCUCUUCUCCACCAUAGUGGCCUGGAAAAAUGAAAACAAACAAAUUAAUUUUAAUAUAAAUGUAAUUAUCAUUAAUUUUUAAUUAAAUAUUACAAAUUUGAAAUAACUUACAUGGAGCUGCUCUGCCAGAUCAUUCUUGGGCCAAACGUAUACCUCCUUGAACAUGUCAAUCUCAUUUGCAAAAAAAAUGUCAAUCUUAGGAAACUUUGACCCCCUGAAUUAAAAAAAAUUAACACAUAGGUUAUCAAUUGUGUAAUAGAGAGUAAAAACUAUUAAAACUUAAUAUAAAUAUACGGUUACCUGAUGUCACUCCUCCAACCUAUAAGAAAAGCGUCGCAAGUUAGAGCGGUGAAGAAGCUUCUUCUUCGACCAAUUGAUCGAGUUUGCCUUCACUUUUUUCAGUUAAAUAAAAAAAUGUAUUAGUUUGGAUAUUUAUAACAGAUUAAUGAAAAAAAUUAAAAUUUUAUUGAAAAUUAUAAACGUAUUGAUAAAAUAAUAUAUAUUUUACUUACGAGAGUCACUCCCAUUCAUCUCAAUGGUCCACCAACUCCUUAGGGCACCCAACUUCUAGAGCAGCUGCAGACCAUCACAUCACUUAUAAUGCUUGUAGAGGUCGCUCUUCCACUGAGUUAAUCGGCCGGUGCAAAUCUUGUGGAUGUACCAUUUUUUAUUGGCAUCGAGGUUCCUGAAAUCAUCAAGGUUCGUGAGAUCAUAAAGAUGUACCAUUUAUUAUUUCCGAGAAGGAUUUUCUACAAAUUCAAAAGCAUUUGUCGUUUUAUGCCAAUCAGGUACGCUUAAAAUAAAGGAAGAUAUUUAAAACGAAUAUGAAGCAUGAAAACAUUCCCCAUGAUGCAUGAACCCCCUACAUUUAUAUAUACCUUCCGAUAUAUGUAUUGUAUAUGUUUCAUAUAUUUGUCAAUAUAUAUAUAUAUAUAUACGUUUCAUGCAUUACGCAAUUUUUGCUAUGUGGAAUUUGUGAGUCAAAGCAUUGAAAUAAAUUAGAAGCAAUUCGGGUUUUUCAAACCCUAGUGUCGAAAAAAAAUAGAAAAUUGGGAUUUUUUUGCAAUAUAAGUCGCAACCCUAAGCUGAGCCGAGACACAUGGGUUGGCCUGAAGCCCAACCGUGUUAAGCAGUCAUCGAAACAACGUUGUUUGACAUCUGGACCAAGGCAGCAACCUUUUUGGCUUGGUGUGUGCGAGACUAACCAGGCUUCUGACUUAGUUAGGUUUUUCAAUUAAGCCUGCAACUCUAACCUACCUCCAGCACAGCCUGUAACCGCAUGUUGGGCCUUGUCCUCGUGUUCUUGGCCCAAACUAACAAGCUUGUUACUUGCUGGGCUUGCCCCUACAUCUCGGCCCACCUGCAGCAGCCCCUUUUGCUAUUGGGCUCGCCAUGUCGUGGCCCAAAAUUGAAGCCAGCCUUUGGCUAGGCUUUGUUACACCUUAACCCAAGCUAGCGUAAGCUGGGCUUGCUUCCCUACGCUUGUUAUUGGCUCAAUUAUAGUAGCCUUGAUCUACUGGGCUUAUCCCAACCCAAAGGCCUGUAGCCUUCUCGUGGCCCCUAAAGGCCUGCAACCAUGAUGCAGAGCAUUACCCCUUGCACUACAGCCAACCCAAUCAAGCUGGUAUGCGUUGUUUUUCGACAUAAUGCCAUAUUUUUGGAAUCCCUACUUCAUAACCAUGCUCUUAUAAUUUUGGGACGUUAUUGGAUAACAAGAAUUAAGCUAUAAUUCACUUGUCACUUGGCCCGCCGCCAAUUGAAGCUAAUAUGACCCGCAUGUCAUUAUUUUUCUUCCACAAUCGACCCCGUAUGGUCCCGAUCUAUUGAAUUAAUUAAAAGUGACCAGCAGUCAAUUAAUCUGACUAAAAAUCCAAAAUUAUUAACCUAAAGAUCACUUUUAGACAUUAACGAUUCAAUAAUUUAUUUUUCUUCUUUGAACCAUUGACAUCCUUUCGUAAUCCCGAAGCGCUUACACUUGAGUUCCCGAAGCAACUCAAACCCAUUACACUUAAAUCAGCAUAUCGUAUUAUGUGUUCUAGCAGGAACCUCUCUUUUAUGACUAAACGUUCAUAAACUAAAUUGAACCUAUAUUUGCCUUUGAAACCCGAAGUUUUCUUAAAGCAAUACACCCAUAAAAACCAGACGUUUUUCUUGUAAAAUCAUGUCUUAAAACCGGAAUGUUGUAAUAUUUAUGCUUAUGGAUAUCUUAUUUCCAUAGCAUCAAUCACAAUCUUGUUCUCUCCAUUCAAUGAAUUGUCAAACCGUCACAAGUUCAAUUUUCCUGAUUUGGAUGUUUCUAAUAGAAACCAAUUUAUGUCGGGUACAAGACGUAAAUCUCCACUUGACUAUCAAGAAGCUGAGACACCAUUAAAGCCAACAACGGCAUGGAACAGCUGACAUUGCCUAAAGCACAUCAUGAUUACGUCCAUGAAUGAGUACGAUUCUGAAGUUUAUAAAUUCGAUGGAAUUUCAACUCGAGAAUACUUUUUCUCAUCCUUCCAUGUUUCUAACUCACUCCCGAGGCAAUAGUGUAGAAAGCGGAAGUUUACCAAAUCCUUGGAUCUGAUUACUACCAAAAAUGUGAGAAACCGGUAUAGACUUAGCUUUAGCUGGAGUCUACCAAAUAGUGGUGCCUUGCUUCGACAGGGCUGCACCAAAAGGCAUGCUCUUCUUCAACAUAGGUGCACUGAAUAGUAUUGCUCUACUUUGGCAGAAGCCUUCCAAACAGACCCCUCUAGCUUCGGUUAAAGCCUACCAAAUCCAAUUUGGGUCUGUCUCUCUCAUAAUCCAAUUUCGAAUUGUUUUUAUAAUAUAUGGUAGAAUCAAGACUUGACAAGGUGUGGCAUCAUGCCCGGAGCGUGAUCCUUGGCACCUAAGACCUAAAACUUCAAGAAUAAGGGAUAUUGUUCCCAAACCUCAACCCUGCAUAAUCUACUUUCAUCUCGAUGGAAUAGAUCAUUGGGUAUGCACCUGUUUGUGCCCCUACCAAUGUUGUUGAGGAGUACCAUUCUAGUAGUCAAUAUGAGACUAAUUUUGCUCCACCAAACAUCGUUGGAAGAGCAUAAUGUUGACAUGAAUGGCCAUGUUGGUCGAAUCCACGUUAGUAACAUUGGUUUACUUUGUGAACAUUUUUCUAUGUUCUUGGAUUCACGUUUGGUGUUUAUUUUCGUUAUGGAUAAUCUUAUUGAUGUUGUCCUCGAAUAUGAGUUAAUUGAAUCAUGUUUCUUGUAUACAUGUGACCAAAUUCAAAUUAAACACGUGAUUAGGUACAAAUGUAGGAAAAUUAGUUGUCUGGAUAAAUGCGAUACUACACACGCUAACUUUAUAUCUAUAUCACAUCUCUAGCAACGACUUCAAGUUUAUCCAACCUGAUUAAGAGCAUUGGCACACUCCUCGUUGUAUGAAUGGUACUAACUUACCAUUUAAUAAACCUUAUAUUCUCCUCGUUCAGGAAAAAUGUUGUUAAGUCUUAAGGAUAUUCGAGAGAACAAUGAUCAUGAAUGAAACCACUGAAGAAAAUAGAAUAGAAUAUCUUUUCACCACCUCCAAAACUAAGCAUGAAGCUUUGCUUUAGGGCCAAUGCAUUGUAUUCUAACUAGGAACACAUCACAUAUGGCCGGCCUAGAGCCUGGUGAUUGAACAGUUUACUUGCUUUGGCCCGACUAUUUGGGACACUUAGGCCUCGUUUGGCAGCUCGGACUGUACUGACUAUUUCUGUCGGAUAGGAUAAAUAGUCAUCGGAUAGUACUGACUAAAUUAGUCGGGCGUUUGGUGCAGUAUCGGACUAAUGACCGUAUUAUUUAUACUGUGUUUGGUUUUAUACCGGAUAGGCUAAAUCAAACUUAAAAUUAAAUUAAACUUAUAAAAAUAAAAAUAAAAUAUCUGAAACCAUCCUUUCUUCUUCCCCAUUCUCUCCGCCGCACCCCUCAAACGUCCCUCUCUCUUCCUUCUUCUUCCCCGCCUGCCUGCACAUCUGGUGAGCAACCAUGAGUCAUCAGAUCCACAUCAACCCAAAUCAAGAGUGCAUGCUUCUUCGCAAGACCUAGUUGCAGGGGAGGACGACGACGUCGAUGGGGAGGACGACGACGGCGACGGGGAGGACGCCGAUGGACGACGACGUCGACGGGGAGGACGCCGAUGGUGAGAGAAGGUAACCGGGGGGGGAGGACGACGACGCCUAGAGAGAGAGAGAGAGAAAGAGAGAGAGAGAGAGAGGGCCGACUAAUAAUCCCGGCCUUUUGGUUGGUUUUAUUAGUCCGGUGUAUACCGUGCUAAAUAAGCACACCGAUUAAUUUAAUCUGGCGCUUAUUUAGUACGAGUGAACGCCAAACACCCGCGUCCGUAUAAUUAGUCCUAUCUGAUCCUCUAUCCGAUCUGCCAAACAGGGCCUAGGUAAAACAAUGAUGCCAUGACGCAUCUCCUUACCUGAAGUAAGGAUCUUGUGCCUACAAGCACAAUUUCCUAAAGCCCACUCGUUUGAGAAAUUUUAUUUCUAUGUCAUUCCUCGCAAAUAUACGAAAGACUCUCUUUUCACAGUGGAUUCAAAGGAAUAUAUGUGGACUAAUUCAACCAAAAUGGGAACCAUAUAAAUACUUAUGGUUAUGGUUAAUGAAUCGACAAACUGGUCACAUAAUCUUCCACACACAUUGUUGCUAAACCUUAUAGCUGGUUUUAAGGGUUCACCACCCUACUUAUCCCAUAAACUUUGAAAGACUGGAUAAUGCUUGAGAGUUUAUAUCGACGGUUUUUCUUAAGUAUUGCAUGUCUUUUAGGUUUAUAAUUGAACAUUGAAUUCCCAUGUCCACCCCAAACAGCCUCGCAUAGUGAUCAUAAAGCACAAUUUAAAUGAUCACCCGGACCUUGGUGAACGUACCAAGUUUUCAAUUUCUACCUAGGGCUAUGCAAUCUUAUACACAGAUAUGUUAGUCCACCUUAAGGCCUAUUGUCACCCCCUAUUCGAUGUUACAGUUGCUUACUGGGUAUGAACCUAACGUUUCAUACUUAAGCAUUUGGGUGUGCAUUCCAUGUGCCAAGUUGCACCGCUGCAACAUACCAAUAUGGGUUUUCAAAGAAGGAUGUGAAUCUUUGUCGCUAACGAUUCUUCUUCACACUAGCUCUCUUAGAGCCUUUGCACACAAUCUCUUUACCACUCAUUUGCGGAUUGUCACUUCAAUGAGACAGUCUUCCCGCUGUUAGGGGGAAAUAAGAACGUCAACAUUCCUAUAGAAUGACGUAAAUUUACAUGGACGUUGCCCACUAUGUCUCAUCUUGAUCCUCAUACUGCACAAGUGUGAUAAGCAAGUGCGAUAUAUUCUAGCUUUCAGAAUGUUGCUCGAGAUGCAUUCCUCUGAUCUAGCUAAAGUGACGAGAUCAUAUACCAGCUGCAAAUAUUCAUGCAAGGAUACACGUACUUAAAGGAUGUCGAGUCAACAUCCCUGAAGAGUGUGCCACCCUUGUUGGACAGUUUGGCCGCCCCUGUUGGACGGUCUUGUACAUAGGGGUAUAGCUAAUCAAUCUAUCUUAGCCUAAAGCACGAUAGAUCACCAAGUUCAUACGAUUAGCUUCCCUAAAAGAUGAAAGUCAUGGCACAAUAAUGAAUCCAUACUCGAUCGCUGUCUCAAUCAUUUCCAUCUCAUGAGAUUAAUCCGGAUUACUCUCAAGACCUGAAGUUCUUAGUCCAGUAUACUAGUUUGGAUGAUAUAAUGGAAUUGGAAUGAGAUUAUCAUCGAUGAUGUUUUCACUUAUAUAGUAGCUACCGACAUAAAUGAAAAAUGAUGAUAUCGAACCGUGUUCUAUUGAUUAGUGACAACGUAGAACUGAUUGGACAACCGAAAUUACAAUCCAGGUUAAAUUCCUUACCAAUGUGUGUUUUGGACCUAUUAUUCCUACAUUGCCCAAUGCAACCAUGUUGUGUUACAAGUGGGAAAGGAAGCAUAAUGAGAUGAAUGAAAUAGUGUAAUAUGACACACGCUUUACGGCACAAGGUUUCUCUCAAACGCCCUAUGAUUGACUACAUCAUUAUGAAUAUGGUUAGUGUUUCUCCAUGGGGAUAUAGAUACGAAAAUUUACAUGAAAGUUCCAGAAGAAUUACAUGGAUUGGUUCAAAUAGUUCCAAACCACGAAACACCCUCUCAACUUAUUUGAGGCGUUCACUUACGGAUUGAAAUAAUUUGACGGAUGUGGUAUACCCGUCAAAGUGAUUAUUUGAUCAGUUAGGGAUAUGAAGUAUGCUAUUGCGUGUUAAACUAUGAAGUCUUAUUUGGAAUUGCUAGAGUUAUAGUUUAUGUCAAUGACAUGAAUCUCACUAAGACUCUAGAAGAGCUUGAGAAAAUUGCCUCGCACAUGAAGGGGAAAUUUGAGAUGAAAGAUUUUGGGAAAACUCGUUUAUGCCUUGACCUAAAGUUCAGGCGUUGUUCUGACAAUACUUUGGUCUACUAGUCAAACUAAACCCUGAAGGUGUUACCUUUGAGUAUACAUAUGAUCCUCCAUACGUUAUAUGCAAAUGAGACACUUGAAGAGGUUAUGAAAUCUGAAAUUCCAUAUCUAAGUUCAACUUUGUGCUUUAUUGUACUUAGCUCAUUGUGUUAGAUAAGACAUCUCAUUCGCCACCCUGAAGGUACUACAGAUUUGGGCAAAUCCCAACGUAUCCCGAGUGGAUCCAACCCCCUUGAUCCUCGGAAUGAUACUUACCUUAUUGGUUAUGAUGACGCUGGUUACUUAUCCAACCUGCACACGGCACAUUCCUGAAUGGUUAUGUCCUUACCGUUAGAGAUAUCAUAAUAUCUUGGAGGUCUACGAUAUGACCUUAGUUGCGAAAUUUUUGAAUCAUUCCAAGACUCACCUCACUUCACUACGCCAUAAGUAAGACAUGGUUAGGAGUUCUUCUUAUGUAUAUUCGAAGUACUUGCUGUUUUCAUCUAUUGUUGAGUCCCAACGACGAUCCAUGAAGAUUAUGCCGCAUGUAUCAACCCGACCAAGACAUGAUACAUCAACGAAGUCAACACCAAGACAUAUUGCGUCUACAUCUACAUUAGGAAAGCAUCAAGAGACUGAACUCAUGUAAGCCAAUCCCAUAUAACCUUGCCAACCUCUACACGACGUCACUACCGAAGUUAACCUUCCAGAAGCUUGUCUAAGGAAUUGGUAUGCCUAACUAUUCAUAUGCAAAUGUUUAUAGUUCUCAUUUGGAAGUUCUGUCAAACUCAAAGGGAGUAUCUAGAAGUAUACUCACUUGAUCUUAAUGUACUAGUUUUCCCUACGAUUAGGAACCUUUUUCCCACUAGGUUUUUGCUACCUAACUAAGUUUUGAUGAGGCACCCAUCCUGGGUUAGUCAUACCCUUGUGAGCUGCUCUACUUACAUCCAGAAGACGUAUAGUUUUGACUUAAUGCAACUUCUCACUUUUCUCCUUAGUUUAUGGGUUUUGCCUAGCGAUGUUUUGUAAGUUUUACAUGUUAUGUAUUCUUCCGUUGAUUUGAGACUCGCAUUCGCUCAUUGUGCCGACAACUUCAUCAAUUGAACUUACUUCAUCGCUGAAGACCUGAUGCGCCAUUUGUUUGAGUAUUUACACACUCAAGGGGGAAUGUUGCAGUCCUAUUAGAUUAGGAAUGUGAUUGUGUAAAUCCUAACAUAUCUAGCAUAUUCUUAUGGCAUUCUACUAUAUCUCUUAGUCUAGAUAUUAUCCUAAUAGAGUUGUAAUCCUAUUAGGGUAAGGAUUUAACCUUCUAUAUUACUAUAAAUAAAGGCACAAUGGGGUGGAAUAGAACACACCUCACAAUUACAUAUUUCUCUUCUCUCUCUAUGUGCCGCACCUCAUCUCUCUGGCCUUCAUAGUUGUUCAAUAAAUUAUGCCUACAACAUAUUCAAUAAUAUCAUUAUUUAUGACACAAGUUUUCAUUAAUCCUCAUCCAAAGUAGAAUAAAUAUCAUUAUCAUCAUUUUCAUCAGGAUUCAGACUCUCAUUCCUCAUAGUUUGUAUGCACGUCCUCAUCGUCGUUCCCAUGCUUUGGUGCAUUGUAUCGCAGCGGAUCCCUGAGGUCAACCAUAAUAAAGUCGAUCGAUAUUUCAACUUCAGGGCCUCCAGCUACUUGAUCCGAUUCUUGUACAAUAGUCAUAUCCCACAGUGUUUUUACACUAAUUUAUGUUGAAGUCUUAAGCUGUUGGUCAAUGACUUCUUCCUUGUCAUCAUCGUUAACAAGAUCUCAAUUCGAAAUAUCACACCUUUCUAUGCUCAAUCUUUUGAACUACUUUCCAUCAUUUCCCACCAUUUGGGUCAUCUAUAUAGAAAAUUUGUUUGGCCAUCAUUGCCAAAAUGUAGGGUCAUCAUUAUACCAACAUCUGUUAGUGUUCACCGAUAGCAAACCAUCAUCUUGCUUAACACCUCUACUCCUACGUGGGUUUGUAUCAAACCAGCGACACUUAAAAAGGAUAACUUGACAUCGGUCUUUGUAAAGCAAUUGCACAACACUUAUAAGUUUUCCAUAGAAAUCAAUUUCUGCAAAAUCGCGUACACCUAGGACAUGUACCCUACUAUUAUGAGUACAUAGCUUGUAAUCACGAUCAGCUGCCAAAAACUUGAUGACGUUUACAUGACUACCGAAUUACAAUUCUGUGCUUAAGGGCCCGAUAGCCAAGUUGUAUAAUUCUUCAGUGUAAGCAGGCAAAUUCAUAUCUUUCAAUUUCUUCACCUAAAUUAGGUAUAAAAAGUUAACGUGUUAGUUUACCAUUUGCAAUGAUGCAAAUAACCCAAAACACUAACAACUUACAUGUUGCAAAACCAAUGAGGAAACAAUUUACGGGCUUCUUGACAUGUAUAUGUGAAGGAUAAUCCCGCUUCAUCAACUCUUCAUGCUCAUCUAGGUAAGUCAUUGUCUCGUCACAAUUCUUAAGUACAAACCAAUGUGCUACCUCCAUGUCCAUUUGGGUAAACGACUCGCCUCUAAUUGGUUCACCAAAGGAUCGUGCAAUUUGAGCAAAAACAGAAAAAAAUUCACUUCUCACACCACCAUCAUUAUUGCGUUGUAGUCGAUUAAACGUCGUCUCAACAUCUUGUAGGUACAUUGCACAAAAUGUAAGCGACUCAAAUACGACCCAUGCCUCCAUAAUUGAUCAUUCGAGCUUUACCUUGUUCCAUACUCUUUUCUUUUUUAAUUCACAGAGUAAUCUGCAGCAAUAAAAAGUUAACGUUGAUGAGUUCGGCCAGCAUUGCCUCAUUCAGUAAGUGAAUCAUCACGUGGACCAUGCUUGUGAAGAAAGAUGGAGGAAAUAUUUGUUCAGACUUGCAUAUGACUUCAAUAAUAUCGUCACGCAAUUGUUUAACAUUGAACUUGCGCAAAGAUCUUGCAGAUAAUUGAGAAAAAAAUAAUUCGCCAACAAAAUAAUCGGCUUCAACACAUCUUUGGGCAAGAGGUAUUGAAUACCAACUAGGAGAAAGUGUUGGAGUAUCACAUGACAAUCAUGACUCUUGAUGCCAGAAAAUUUGACUUUGUCCAUGUUUGCACAACGACCGAUGUUUGAAGCAUACCCAUCAGGAAACUGUACAGACGAUAGAAACUACAAAAACUCUUUCCUUUUAUCCGGUUUCACAGAAAAAGAUGCAAGCUUGUUUCUAGCUAUAUCUCUGUCCCUUGUCAUCCAUAAACCUGGCCUAAUGCCCAUUCGUUCCAAAUCAAAAUUCGAGCUUUUAUCGUAUCCUUUGUUUUUCCCUCGAUGUCUAGUAUAGUUCCGACCAAUGUAUCAAAAACAUUCUUCUCAAUAUGUAUUACAUCACAGUGAUGUCUUAAUUUUAAGUUCGACGAAUAUAGGAGCUCAACGGAGCAAAUUCUAAACGAUUCACCUGAGCUAAAAUAUCAUCUCCAAACCAUUCUCUAGGUCUUGGUCGAAUCUUUGUUCCGUUGAAGAAGACUGUCUUGUUUUGACGCCACUUAUGGUCCCACGGCAACCAUCUAUGAUGCCUUAGGGUGCGUUUGGUACGUGGGACGGGAUGGGACGGAACGGGACGAGGCGUUCCGUCCCGCGUUUGGUGCGCCAAAAAUGGGUGGAACGGGUUGUUCCACGGGACAGAUUUUGGGUGUUUUUGCGUCCCACCUCCCCCCUGGAACGGGUUUGUUCCACGUCUGUGGAACACACUGUUUUACCAUUUUAAGACAAAUAUACCCCAUGUCUUUUUCAAAAAUUACACCUUCGUUUCGUCCCGUCCUGUCCCGUCCCGUCCCGUUCCGUCCCGUUCCGUCUGGGUGCGUUUGGUACGCAGACGGAACGGGACGGAACGGGACGGGACGGGACGGAACGAAGGUGUAAUUUUUGAAAAAGACAUGGGGAAUGGUAAAACAGUGUGUUCCACAGACGUGGAACAAACCCGUUCCAGGGGGGGAGGUGGGACGCAAAAACACCCAAAAUCUGUCCCGUGGAACAACCCGUUCCACCCAUUUUUGGCGCACCAAACGCGGGACGGAACACCUCGUCCCGUUCCGUCCCAUCCCGUCCCACGUACCAAACGCACCCUCUGCGUACCAAACGCACCCUUAGGUAACAAAUUUUCCUCACGUGCCAAGAACACGUUACGUCCUCUUUGCAAACCAGGCAUGCGAAAUAACCCUUGGUGCUCCACCCUGACAUCAUAGCAUACGCGAGAAAAUCAUUUAUAGUCCACAUCACUGCUUCUCGCAAGGUGAACAUCUUUCCGAUAGAUUUAUCAUAUGUGGAACACCAUUUUCGCAUAAUUCUUUUAGCUCAUCGAUCAACGGCUGUGAAUAAACAUCAAUAGACAUGCCUAAAUCUUUGGUUAUCAACAAAGACAUCAUCAUAUAUUCUUUCUUCAUGCAUUUUCAAGGUGGAAAAUUAUACGAAAUUGAGAAGAUUGGACAAGUGAUGUUGUUUUGGUUUAGAACCCCAAACGGAUUAAACCCAUCUGUCACAAGUCUGAAUAUGAUGUUAUGCAGCUCUCGAGCAAAAUUGGGGUAUAUCCGACCAAAUUCUUUCCAUGCCUCUCCAUCUGCAGGAUGUCUCAUAAAGCAUAACUUUUUGUGGAAUCUUCGUUGUUCUAUUCUGAGAUGUGAUUUUAAACCGCAACUCAUUGCAUAUCUGACAAUUUAUUCUCUUUGCAGAACAAAAUACAAUUAUUUUUACACACAUGAAUUUUUUCAUAGCCCAAUCUAAGAACAUUCAACACAUUCUUUGCACUUUUAUGAUCUCUAAGCAGUCAAUUGUCCUUUGGAAGCUUCCUCUUGAAACCCUCAAAAAGUAAUCAAAGCACUAGUUCGACAUAUGAAACUUUAGUUUGCCCUGCAGCAACUCAAUAAUGGUUGUGAGAAUUGAAAAUCCUUUGCAAUCGAGGUAUAAUUCUUGCUUAGCACUUUUUAACAGUUUUUCAUAUUUUUCAAAUGCUUCACUGUCCAUGGUGGGAUAGACGUCAUCUUCUACUUCCUGAUUUGUAUUCAAACUAGCAUUUGGAAAAAACAUCAUUGAUAAUGUACAUAAUUGUUCAUCUAGAUCCAUACUAGAUUCAUUUGUCUCUAUUGAUCAGGUAAUGUGUGAAGAUGAAGCAUGUUGUAUUUGUUCUCCAUGAUGAUUCCACGUAGUACAGAUCUCCAUCAUCCCAUUUCUAACUAAAUGGUAUCGAAUAAUUUCAAAAUAUUCAAUCAUUGAGUUGUUACACUUCUUACAAAGACACUUAAUUUGAGUUGAACCUCGGUUGUUUGCAAUUGCAAAAUCAAUGAACUGAUUUAUUCCAUCCAAAUAUUCAUCAACACAUAUGUUAGGAUUAUGUAUCCACUGUUUGCCCAUAUCGCCUGCAAACAUAAAGAAAUUACAAGGGUUACAACAACUUCAAUUAUGACAUGCCACCUUAUUCUUCCGGUAAAGGUCUUAUCUCAUUCAAGAAAGCACAUUUGCAUGCUGUAAUUUAAGGCUCCAAAACAUUAGAGUUUGAUCGUAGGAAAAUUUCAGCAGCAUCUCCUUACAAUUCUUCAAGUGCACAACGUAGAUACAAAAAAUUACGAUACACACAAAGAACACAGAGAUGCUACCAAAUUUAGCGCAUUCAAACUCUAAUCCGUGAACUGCAAACUACAACAUCUAACUGUGCAUUCUCAAACUGUCCAAAAUUAUGGGAUUCCAGAAUUAUGAGAAACUAAGCUUAUGUGAACAUUGCAAAACAUUUUUAUACAUCCAUACAAAAAUGUUUGCAAACAAAUAAAGAAACUCGUACAAUUCUAAAAUACAAACAAAACAAGUUAAAUGAAUGAAAAUUAAAUUAAUUAUUUAAGAAAAUAUACCUCCAAGAUUAACAGCAAUGCAAAGAGAUGUUGUCUGAAAUUCUUCAGGACGAAGGCAGCAGCUACAAUUGUUUUACAGUUUCUACCUCCUUGCGUUCUGGUUAAAUUCCAUAAAGUUCAUAAUAAAUUUGCACAACGAAAUUACUGUUGCGCAAAACAUUUACUUUCAACACUUUGGCACCAAUACCCUUGCAUUUUGGUGCUUUUAUCACCCCACUUACGGGGCGAAUUAUAGAGCUCGUCGCGCAAAGUCAUCUUGAGCGACAAAUAUUUAAUAAAGACAGUAAAAAACUACACCCAAAUAAAUCAAGAAAUUAUUUAAUUAAACCAUUCAUGCAUAUCUAAUUAAUAUAAACAUUUUUUAUGGGAAAGAAAAUAAUAUUAAACAACAAAACAUCUAGUACAACCAUUUCCAAUACAAUUAAAUUGAAAAGCCGGUAGAGCCUUAAUUAGCAAGCAAUAGUCUCAAACAUGAGGAUUCUCAAGAGAAAGCCCAAGAUGAGUAAGAGAGUCUGCAACAAAAUUAGCCACCUUGAAGAUAUGCUUCCAUUCAAUAUGGCUGAAGUUCUGAGUAAGAACACAGACAUCAUUGACUAUACAACUGAUGUGCCAAGGCACCUUCCACUGCCACUUCACAGAUUCAAUAACUAACUUUAAGUCAUCCUCGACCACAAUCUUUCGAAUACCUUGGCGAAGAGCAAAACGUAGUCCUUCUCUUAAACCUAUCACCUCCGCCACUGAAAUAGUAACACUAUCAAGAUUGAAGGCCCAACUCCAAUAACCCAAGCUUUAUUAUUAUGAAGGACAAAAGCAGCAGCCGCCCUAUCAUUAGACACCAAACCAUCAAAGUUGAGCUUAAUCACAUUCUCAUUAGCGGGUGGAUGCCUUUUAAUAUAUUCUUGAGUGUGAACAAGCUACUUGGCAUCCUUCUUCCCAUUAGCCUUGAGAUAGGCCGUACCCACACUGGUGACAAUAGCGGCGCAUCGCCUAGGGACCGGCAGAACACUCCUGAAAAUUAAAUUGUUUCAUUCUGGCCAUAUUUGCCAACAGAUAAGGAUAACUUUACUGAGAUCAGAUAGAGAGACAUCAUCUUUAGAAUGUAACGCAUCUAGCUCAUCAAGAAACUUAUCAUUGGUAUGGAGAAUUAGAUAUUGUUAGAAAUCAAGUUCCAUACUCUAUUUGCAAAAUCACACUUAACAAAAAGAUGGUAAUGGUCCUCAUCCAUAGACUUGCAAUUGGACAGAGCUUAUCAGUAUUUUUGAUAAACCGCUCUAGACGCACUUUGGUAUGAAGUCUUCCUUGCAUCAUUAGCCACGCAAACAUUUUAACCUUAGGAGGAAUGGUGAACUUCCACAUUUUAUUUAAUAACUUAAUUCGAUUUCCAAAAGGGUGAUUACGAUUUUGGAGCCAAGUGGCAGAUUUACCAGUGAAUUUGCCAUUAUUAGACAAUGCCCCACACAAUCCUGUCUAAGGUAUUUUGAAGAGGGAUAGAAAUAAAAGAAAUUUUUCUGCUGGUAUUGUUGUCUACCACAAUAUCCAAUUUCAUUUUGUUCCAAGUAUUAUUCUCCGUAAGGAAAGACUCCUUGCGUAAAUAUUUUUGUUUCACUAUUUUGACCCACCAAUUGUCUUCGUCCGUUAUCACUUUCCAACCUAGCUUAGCCAAGCAAGCAUUAUUAAAAUGAUCAAUUCGCUUGACGCCAAGGUCACCCUGAUUCUUAGUGGUACAAACCUUAUUCAAAGCCAUAGGCUCCAGUUUAGAGUCCAUUCCCCAGUUAAAAUCCCUACACUCUUUGUUAAUUUUUUUUUUGUAAAUCUAUUAGGGCAUUUAAAAUAAGAUAUAACAUGGUUCGGCAUAUUUGUAAGAUUGGAAUUAAUAUAAACAUUUAUUACAAUAUCAUUGCAUUCAUCAUAAACAUUAAGGACAUAUUGAAAAGUACCGUUCAUAAAUAAAAACUUGAAACUCAAAUGUCAUUAUUUAAUUAACAAUGAAAUUAAAAAUAAAUAAAUAAAUAAAUAAAAAACAAUUCUACUUGCCACUAGUGGUUUAGGUUCUCGCUACAGUUCUGCUUCACAUUCAAAAUCAAACUUCUACUCUCAGAAACAGAACUUGAAUAUGUUGUCGAUAAACUUCAUUAUAUUUGGGUCACUUUUGUCAAUGUUCCAAUCUAGCUGUUAUGUAAAAAAUUAAUAAAGGGUAUUUUUAUUAGCACCUCACAUAUUAUUGAAUACACCCCACAUAAAAAUUUAUUAUUAAAUGACAUAUACUUUUAUAUGAAAUGACUUUCUAGCCCACGAAAACCAAAUUAGUUGAAGUAGAACAAUCAAAUUAGUUGAGCCAAUAAAUUUCAAGAAACAAGCUGCCAGGAGCUCAUUGAAUUCGAGUGGUUAGCAGGCGAAGCAUUUCUCUCAACCACCUGCCGGUGGCAGAGCAAACAUGAAGUUUAACAUUGUGAAUCCCACCAUUAGGCCAGAAGAAGGUUGAGAUCGAUGACGACACCAAACUACGUGAAUUAUGGGACAAGAGGAUCUCUCAAGAAGUCAAUGGUGAUGCAUUGAGCGAUGACGUUAGGAGGUAUGUCAAAACCUACCGCAGAACAUUCACAAACAAAAAAAUAAAAAAUAAAAAAAAAUUCAGCUUUGAAAAGUAAUACUUUCACAAUAAUUCGAAUCAAAACCAAUGCAGGAGUGUUGUUCAGUUAAAGUCGCUGAAAUGUCUGUAGAAAAGGAACGUUUGAUGUUUGCUUUUAAUUUGGGUCUUAGAGAUAUUGUUCUUGAGCUUGACGCGGAGGGAGUGGUGGUGGCUGAUAUUACGUCUAUGGAGGAUUGUCAGGGUUCAGAGGGUUGUACCAUGGAGAAUAUACAAAUGUUGGGAAAAAGUUUCGAAUUUUUUUUUGUCAAUGGCAAAACAGAGCUUGUUGUGGCUCAUGAACUAGCUCAAUAUGCAGUUCGUGCUAAUGAUUUUAAAUCUGGGAUUGAAGAGGAGCCUAGUUGGCUCUCUCCUCUUGUACUAUUUUUUUAUUCCUCAUGUUAAUGAAAGUCAUAUUUUUAUAAAAAAAAAAUGAAAUAAAUAUCUAUAAACAUAACUAAAUGUGUAGAAAAUUGAUGGAAGACUAAACCUGCUAAAUGUGCAGAAAACUGAAUAAAGAAUAUAAAAAGAAAUCUUAAAUUUCACAAAGAGUGCGGGUGUAAGGGUAGUAUUGGAAAGUAUGUGAGGUGUAUUAAGAUAAAUUUUAAUCUAAAAAGUAAAUGUGGGGUGUAUUAAGUAUAUGGGGUGUAGUCAACAAAAUGUGGGGUGUGUACAAAACAACCCAUUAAUAAAUUAUAAAUCUCACUAAUAUAUUUAUUUAACGAACAUAAUUAUUAUUAACUAAUUAAUUCACAAGUACUUCUAACUCAUCGAUCAAGUACAUCUUUAUCUCCUUGGGAACGGCUCUCCAAGACUCCCAAUCUACACCACAUUUGCCACACACCGAUACCCCAACAUCGCACGCAUAUCUGAUUUCUCAACUCCAUUUAAUUCUUCAAACGUGAUUCAGUAGCAGCUCCCAUCGAAAGUGUAUCGAACCUGGGGUACAACUCUCUUCUUUUUCUUGUCUACCAACAAAAUUUAAAUUUACAAUACGCAAGCUAAAUAUAUACUUUAUACAAAAUGCAAAAUUUAGAACAUAUUACCUUUUCCAGAACCUUCGCCCUUGAUUCUCUUUGACGAACCAACACUAGAGUCAGCCAUCGUACUAAAAUUCAAAUAACAACUGGAAUUAUAAUCUGGAAAAAAAGUAAAGUGUUUCCGAAACGAAUUGUGAAGAAUAGGGAGAGCGAAAUUGUAAAUUUAUAGGAAGCCUGGGGACCUUGCACGACGAAGCCUUUGUUGCACAUAACCCUGCACUAAAUACAAUAUUGAUUCCUCUAAUUCACAUGCAUUGAUUCCUCUGACUCAAAAAACUGACCGUCUGGUUGACAUCUUACGUGAUGAAGCUUUUGUCAUGCAAGUGUUUCACGGUAAAUGUUUCGUCAUGCAAUUGUAUGGCGCCAAAAAAGGGCGUACCUGUGGUUUUUUGCCAAACUUUGCGCGAUAGGGGAGUUUUUUUCGUUGUUCAAUGACAUUUGCACCACAAAACGUUGCGUCGUGCAAACUUUGGAUUACAAUUUUAGUUGUGCAAAACACCCUUGCGCGACGAAUUUUACUUUGUCGCAUAAAGAUCUGUCACACAAUUGAUUUUUUCUACUAGUAAGGGAUUAUAGAAAAUGAGGAAUAAAAAUCAAUCACCCUAUCGAUGGAUCUACACGAGAUAAAAACUUCAAAUGACUUUGUAUAAUUCAAAAUCUAAUAAUGUUACACUUCUUGAAACUUAAUAUCUGCAACUACAUCAUCUUUUUUUCUUCAACAUCAACACCACAAAUCCUCAAACUUUUAAUACAGAGGACAAAUUAUUCAAUAGCUUAGGGAAUAAAUGAAGAGGUAUAAGUAAUAAUUUACAAUCAUAGGCAUAGUUUUUCACAUCAAAUCAAUAGAAUUAAGUAUUAAACGUCUAGCAGAAUUAGGCCCCCCCCCCCAGCCCAACCCCACCCGAACUAGGAUAUAUAUACGGGAAUUUUAACGAAAAGCACCCGGUACUGUUUACUUUAACGAAAAACCACAUUUUUACACUAAAAAGUCAAUCCUGGUACUAUUCACUUUACCCUUUAUUUUGUCUUUAUCAUUAAAACUCAAAGUUUUCAAGCCCUUUUCAUUAGUUUUCCUUAUAUACAAAGAUAAAACAUUCAAGCUGCAAUUUUCCAAACACCUAUAAGUCCAGGCUCUAUAGUUGUCACAGGCUCACAGCCGCUCCCCUGCAAGAACCACAUGUAUGCAUGUAUAUAAGAGAAACCCCAUCGACGUGAUCCGCUACCUUGCAAGUCGAGGCUUCAUGGUUUUUGUUUUCAUUGAUUUAACGGAGAAGAAGAUCGGCAACUAGGCUGAUAAAAUUAGAAAAAUAGCAGAGAGAAGGAAUAUGAGAUCAAUAGAAACUUAUAGAAACUGUACGAAAGCUCUUCUCUCUCUUCAUCUAAAGGGAAACGGACCAAAUAAACGAGGCAAGUUUGCCGUCACAGUAAAAUCAGAAACUCAUUGCUUGGGCAGUUAUAUUGGGCUGGUAUACUGUUGAGUUUGCCCUAAGCAUUAAAUAAAAUUUUUAGAAUGCUUAAGAUUUUAUUUUAUUUAAAAUAAAAUACAAAUUAACAACAAAAAUGGCUUGACUUUUGGCCCCGUUCUCCUUUUCGUAUCAUUAAUUUGAAAUGAAAUAUCGACAUUGUAAAAUGGUAGGCGGGUCAUAUAGUAGUAGUACACAUUGAAAAUGUGAAUCUUUAUGGUGGAAUACUAACUUGUUAGAAUGAGAUUGUUGGGGUGAUGAUAAUAGUUUCCUAAAAAUAUAAAGUAAUGCUAUAAACACCAAUUUAUUUGUAAACAAACGUUGUACUAGUUAUAUGACAUCAUUUUUAAUGAGAAACACAAUUAAAAAACAAAACAAAGGGAUUGCAAGUGAUAGAUCUUGCUCUAGUGAAAUUAGUCUUCUCUAUCAACCCACUACAUUUUAUAUUCAAACUUUUCAUCUCUCAUUAAUAUAUAUAUAUAUAUAUAUAUAUAUAUAUAGCUUAAAGUAGUUAUGUCGUUUGUGAUAAGAAAAAUAUAUAUAAAACAAAAACUUCAACAGAAUUUUCCAUCACUCAUAUAAGAAGUUCGAUUUUUUUUUUCCCAGUAAAAAGGACAAAGUAAAUAAAUCAAUUGGAACCCAUUUGCACCCCAAGAUUUACGGAUAUAUAUAAAACCCUAAAGAGAAAAGAGUAAACCACCGAAAGUCUCCAACACUUUCAUUUCACCACCACUCAUAUCAUAUAUAUCACUCAUCUGCAUAGCUAUCACUUGGUCGGUCAAAAGCGAAUUACAAAACAACAGAAACCGGUCACAGAGAGAGAGAGAGGACUCAUCAGAACCACAAGAAAGAAUCCGAAUUCCUCGGGCACACACACAAACAUGCAGCCCGCUGAUCAUCAAGGCCAAGAACUCUACCGAUUUCUUGCCCAAAACGGCUUAAUCAACGUGAAUAAUGAUCAUCAGUUAUCAGCUAUGCAAAGCUUUUGCAGCUCUUCUUCUAAUAAUUAUAGUUAUUACCCUCUGGAAGUGUCUGGGGUAAGUACUGAGCAUGACGCCUCACCUCAAGAUAGAGCCCUUGCUGCUCUCAAGAAUCACAAGGAGGCCGAGAAGAGAAGGAGAGAGCGAAUCAACUCCCAUCUCGAUAAGCUUCGAGGCCUUCUUCCUUGCAAUUCCAAGGUACCUACCUAUUUAUGUACUCGAUUAUUAAUCAAAUUUGUUCUUAUUUUUGUGGUAAUAUUUGUCAAAUUUGUUUUUGGAAAUCAAUUAAAUAACUGGUUAUAAUUGUGUCCUAAUUAAUUUUGUUUUAGUUUAACUUACUGUUGGUUUUGCGUUUGCAAGUUUGAAUUUGAGCUUUGACGCCUCCUAAUUUACUUUCCUUUGCCGCUGAGUCGAUCCUUUCUCACUUCAACAAUCAUUUUUUCUCCUUUUGACUACUGUUUGGUUGGUGGGAAAAAAAUGCUGGCGAGAAAAGAGAGUACUACUGGAACUCGAAUCUACUUUAUGUUGCUUAUAACCAAGGAAGCAAAGAUUUUGUGCUUACUGACUUAAUAUCCGAUUUUUAUUUGUACUAAUUAAUUUAGAAAUUAAUUCAUUCAUUCUGACGUACCCAACAACAACAACAAUCCUAUAAACUUGUUGUCAUGAAUAGCUUUUACAUAUGAGAUUCUAAGGUCUGGGACCUAUACAGUCUUUUGGUACAUUCCGUUUCUGAAAAAGAAAAAGGGAUCAAUGGCGUUGUAGUCAGACACUGGUCUUUAGGGUAAAAAUACUUAUUUGGGAAAGCUGCUGAGCUUUUCACAACUAGGGUUCCUUAUCUUUCUUCUUCUUCCUUUAAUUAUUUUUUAUUCAAACAAAAUUCUCAGACAGACAAAGCCUCCCUGUUAGCCAAGGUGGUCCAGAGAGUGAAAGAGCUGAAACAACAAACGUCAGAGAUCGCAGAGCUGGAGACCUUCCCUUCUGAAACUGAUGAAAUCACUGUACUUUCUUCAAAUGAUUAUACAAGCGAUGGAAGAAUUGUUUUCAAGGCCUCUUUGUGCUGCGAGGACCGCUCCGACCUCCUACCUGACCUAAUUGAAAUACUGAAAUCCCUCCAUUUGAGGACAAUCAAAGCUGAAAUUGCCACUCUUGGAGGAAGAAUUCGCAACGUGCUUAUCGUUGCCGCAGACCAAGAUCACACGAUUGAAUCAGUCCAUUUCUUGCAGAAUGCGUUGAAGUCAUUACUUGAACGCUCCAACUCUAGUGAAAGAUCAAAAAGAAGACGGGUAUUAGACCGCACAUUAGUCCUGUAAUUGGUACUAGUACUUUAAACUUUGAGAUUCUAUAUAUUUUCUUAAUCUUAAGUAUGUAAUAUUAUUUUGGAAUUAGUUGUGUGUGUUUGUUUGUAUUUAAUUCCCAUGAGGAACAUGAAUGGGAAAUUAAAGUAAUCAAUUGGGUUUAAUUUGUUGAUCAUGAGUGGUUUAGGGUUUUGGAUUUUGAAAGUACCCUUUUUGCGAUUUGCAUGCAUGUGAUAUUUGUAUUCAUAUAUAUGUAAGUUUGCAAAAGAGAUAUAUUAAUCAAUUAUAAGAAUCUGACGAGUUUAUGAUCCUGAAGUAGAUAGAUACUAGUGCACCUAAUGUUGAAUACAGAGUCUAUUGAGAGCAACUUCUAUGACACGUAUAUUUGUGAUGUUCAUGUGUCAAUGGUACAACGCAAAGUAGAGAAAAGCUUACACAUGUUAUUAUAUCAAUGGCAUGGAACACAACAACUGCAAUGUACCUGUGACAUGUAAGUUAUUCUGUAGCAUAAAUACUUAAUUAUGUGAGUCUCCAAGCUCAAAAAUGGAAAUCAUGUGAAAAAUUAUAUAUACCUUUUUUAUUUUUCUGAUUACUCUUUAUCUUUUUUCAUGUAUCUAUGAAAGUAGAGUAUUAGCUAGCUCGCUCUGCUGCAUGUAAGUCUUUCUGUAACAUAAACGCUCAUAUGAGUCUCCAAGCUCAAAAAUGGAAAUCAUGUAAAAAAUUAUAUAUACCUUUUUAUAUAUCUGGUUAUAACUCUGUCUUUUUCACGUAUCUAUUAAAGUAGAGUACUAGCUAGCUGUCUCUGCUGCAUGUAUAUCUGAGCUAGCUGAGCUCCUCUGAAAUCUGGAUUCUGAACAAAUAUAUAUACACUGAUUCUCAAGAAAGCAUGAAAGAGGGUAAGUUAUGAAAUUCUUGGGACAUAUAGAUUUGCAAUGAGAUAUGAUAUGCUGAGACAGUGAGAAAGAGACAGUAAAAGACAUGGUUUUGCAGCCCAAGAACUGAACUCUGUGCUUCCAUUUCCAGCACAGCUGAAAUCAAACUGCACCACUUAAUUCAGAUUAAAGAGUAAACUUUCUCACACCAAUCAAGGCGGAUCCCUAGCAAUCUGCCUUAAGUUCUGAAUUAUCCACGCAAACUAAUUUUUUUUUUAUCUAUUUAAAAUAUUAUAUUUAAUCUGCUCCCAUCCACAAACAACAUGUAAUAGGUAGAUUCCACUAUUUCUGUCCUCGUUUGAGUCAAGGACAAAGGGACCAAAGCAUGCAUUUUUUAAUUACUCCAAAAAAAUUUAUGACUACUUUUUUAUGUGUAAAUUGCUUGAUUAUUCAUUGUAGAGAAAAGAAAAGAAAAAAUAGCUAUGAAUUUUUGUUUAUGUAUAUUAUGUAAUCGCACGGCUUUAUUAUUGAUUGGUUUUGGUUCCUUAAUUUGCAAGGAAACAGCAGAAGUGAUCAAAAGUUGCAAAGCUUUCAUAAUUAGUAGAAUGGAAAAACGAUGGAAGUGGACUCUACUCUAAACUCACUGCAAUCUUUAUGGCAUUUGAAAUAAUUUUUGUUUAAAUAGAGUUUAUUUAUUCGAUGUCUGAGGCUCUGAGCUAGCUCCUUCUGACCAUAAACCAAAAAAUGCUCUCAUUCGAAAAAGAAAAGUUAGUAGUUAUCCGUGCAAGGUUUCAAGAGAGGGUUUUACUUUGGGAGAACUUUUUCCUACGACAUUUUAGCCAACUCAUCAAUGUCAUUUGAGUGAGCUUACGGGGCAGAAGUUUUUUUUUUUUUUUUUUUUUUUUUUUUUAACAAAAUAUAUUAUCGAAAAUCAAAUCUUAGAACAAGUAAAGAAGAAUACCACUAGAUUAUAGUACUGACUAUGGGCAAAAGUUAUGUAAUUACUUAUCUACAUUUUAAAAAAAAUUUAUUUAUAGGAAAUAAACGCAUUAAAACGAGAAACCACAGAUACAAUCACCGACCAUUCAUAGGAAGGAAUACAAUACUCCCAAAAUGACUAUUCCUAAUCAGAAGUCCCUGUCUUACCUCGUAUGUUAGCAGUUUUCAAAAUUUUCACUAAUUGACUUCAAAUUACAAAAGAAUUUUAUGAAAAAGGAUUUACCCUUUAAGAAAAAAGUGGGUAUUAAUUGGUAUCCUUUAAUUUGAAUGAUGAUUUUGUUAGGCAAUUAUGAACACGCAUAACAUUCUACCUUGACAGUAUAAUAAAACGUCCACAAUCUAAAGGCCAACGUAGCCUUUCUUGUAAUUCCAUAUGAUCUGAAUGUCUUCACUAGUAAUUCAAUAAUAGUCAUUUAGUAUUACGGUCAGGGAUGACCUUGAGAAUUUAAGGGCCCUGUGCAAAAUUUAGACAGAGGCCCUUCAUUUUCUAAAGGUGUUUUUUUAUUUUAUUUUAUUAUUUCUUAACUUUAAAUUUUAUUCAAUAAUGUUUUUGUGUAAAUUUGUCUGCAAGUUUAUAAGAUGCAAAAAGUAGAAAUUCCAAAGCAAAACCAUAGGGAAUCGAACCCCGCUCCUCGGUGAAAGGGUAUGAAAUCUAAAGCACUACCGCUUGCAAAUAAGUUUGGCAUUCUAUUCCACAUUUAACAUAUUUUAUAUGUAUAUGUGUACAUGUAAAGAAAUUUUGGGGCCCUUCUGAAUCAGGAGCCUUGUGCAGUGGCACCUUUUGCACACCCUCAGGGCUGGCUCUGACUACGGUCUAACUGUAUUUCUCUUCAUUUGUAAGUGAGAGACCUUAGUUUUGAUUCUCGUCAAAGGAUAAUUUGAACCACAUUAUUGCUAGCCCAUUGUGAGGCUAAGCUCACCCCCCAUCUCCCCCUUAGUGUAAAUAAUAUCGUUUGUUCAAAAAAAAUUGUUGUGAACGUCUUUUUACAUGACCUUUUUUUAGUUUACAUUAAUUGUGAUUAAACUAAAGUUCCUAUUACACCAACAUUGUAUAGCCUUUAGUUUGACUUUCACACACUAUAUAAAACCCCAAACUUGGUGUUAAAAUCGUAAAAAUUCUUGGGACUCACUUUCUGUAUCAAAUGGACACUAAACCUAAAUUUGUUUUAAAAAGAAUUUGAUUUUCAAACAUUAAACAAAACAAACCCCAAAUUUAUUUUAAAACUCUAAAAAUGUUUGGAGCUCCAUUUCUCUACUUAAUAAACACGAAAAUUAAAAUUAGUUUUGCAACUCAAUUUCUAUAUCAAUUUCUCUAUCAAUUUCAAUCCCACUAAAUUCGUUUUUCUCGUGACCAAAUACUCAGAAAUAAAAUAAUAGGGAUCAAAACUGAAAUCAAGACAAAAUAUAGUAACCGAAAUUGAAUCCCCUACAUCCCUAUAUGAGAAAUCUGAUAACAUAGAGCAUUGCUGCUACGUGAGCAGUAUCAUCGAUUAUUCCAAGAAGGUUAGGAUUUUCUUAAAGAAAUUAUUUUCUAUAUGACGUUUAAGUAAGAAAAAGACCAGCCCACAGAGUGCCACGUCAAAAACUUCUGGUUAAACUUGAUACUUAUGGGCAGAUGGAGAGACUAAUGUUGCAACAUUUGCAGUAAGAUUUUGAUACAUAGACAAAUGGAGGGACCAAUGAUUAAACUUUAAAUGCAUGCAUAAAGUGACCAUAUGGACCAAAUUGUAACAACUUACAAGCUCAUACCACAAUACUUACAAAAGUAAUGUUUACCACGCUGGAAAAGAGACACAGAGAGAGAGAGAGAGAGAAGGGUAGCGAAGCGUGCAAAAAGGAGGCUGACAAAAAGCAUCAAAGAUUUGUUAAGUUUUAAGUUUUGGCAUGAGAAAAAAGCGGCAAUGAUGAUGAUGGGUUAUGGAGAGAGAAAGAGAGGGGGUGUAGUGGGGACUGAUGACUGCAUAUUCAAAGUUCAAAGGGGCUUUUACAAAUGGCAGCAGCAGACAAAUGCAUUGCGCUUUGGGUGGCCCUGUCGCCUGUCGGGGACGUGCUCCCAGUCUCUGCCCCUCCCUCCCACUCCCACCCCUUUGCCCGCUGGCGUGCGUUUUAAUUCUCUCUCCAUUCUCAGUCCGAUCUCAGCAAACCCUAGCUACUACUGCUUGGCUCCCUAUUCUAAAUGCUUAGCUAUGCGCUUUGAGACUCCGUACGGCUUUGCUACUGAGAUGCUUUUAUAAAAAAUGGAACUUUAACGAAAAGCACCUGGUACUGUUCACUUUAAUGAAAAACCACAUUUUUACACUAAAAAGUCAAUCCUGGUACUAUUCACUUUACUCUUUAUUUUGUCCUUAUCAUUAAAACUCAAAGUUUUCAAGCCAUUUUCAUUAGUUUUCCUUAUAAAAAAAUAGGUAUAAAAAAAAGUUGACCUGAAAAAGGUAUUUGAUAAAUACUUAAAAACAGCUUAUUUUCACAGUUUUAGGUGAAAAAAAAGCUUAAAAUGUGAAGCAGUAAAAAUGAGCUCUCUCUCUCUCACAAUGUGAAAACCUUCUUUGCAAGUGACACAUUUUCCAACGUUAGAGCACCAAUCAAUAAAAAAAGGAAAAAAAAAAAAAUUCCCUUUUAGACGAAACGAUUUCAUCGGGGCAGAUAAGGUUUUGUCACCAAAGGUUUUGCCCGACGACACACAAGAAAUACAUUGAAUACUUGGUUAUGUUAUUCAUUCUUUAGGAUUUACAAUAUAUAGGCUCAUAUGCUUUAUUCUAUAAAGAAAGUAAUUACAAAAGAUAAGGGAACUAAAUUCUCAGAUUACAAUCAAUUACAAACACUACUACAAAAUGGACUUAUUGUGUCACUGGAUGAUGUCACUUUAAUAUAAUAUAGUGGCGGAUAAGACAUUUGUAACACCUACUGAACAUGACGUCGGAUUUAUUGUUGGUUGUAAGCGUCAUAAACUGUCUAUGUCGCUUUUAACCGACGUAAACAGUUAAUGUCGCUUAUAACCGACAUGUAUUUUAAUAAUUUUUAAGUCUUGGUGUCGCUUUUAAGCGAUAUAAAAUUGGGAUGUUGCUUCUAGGUGACACUAAUUACUGUUUUUAAAUAUUUUAAAGCCUGCGUCGGUUCUAACUAGGCCUGGCAAACGGGUCGUGUCAGUCGUGUUCGUGUCGUUUUCGUGUAACACCUGUUAUCUUAAC